AAUAAUGAAAUCCACCCAUGAUCAUACAAUUGAAAACCACUAAAAUAUAUGAAGGUAAUAUGUCAUUACAAGCUCCUUAAAUUAAAAUAAAAUAUGUCCAAUAACAAGCAAAUCUAACUGAAAUAGAAGAAAUAUUACUCCUAAACUGAGACUGAAAAGUAGAAGUUUCUUCCAAAGUACCAAUAAUGUGGUGAUACUUAGUUUGCAUUAGUCUUGAUUCAAUUCUCACCUUUUAUACCUGUGUAAAAAAGAGAAAACAAAUUUAUAAGAUUUAAUAUAAAGUAGAAUUUGCAACAUUACAUUAUGUUUUUCAUACAUUGUAAUGCCAAGUUUCUGCAAAGAUAAAUCAAUCAUACAUAAUAUGAAGCUACACAUAUAUACGAACUAUAUCCCCACUGCUAUUUGUGGUGUGCAUGAAGUACAUCACAAGGAAACCAUAUCCCCACUGCUAUUUGUGGUGUGCAUGAAGUACAUCACAAGGCGUUGAUGCUAUGGGUGGCUGAAACUGAAAUACUUUGUUUUGCAGAUAAACAUGCUCAUAUUUUGCAAAGGGAAUAUAACAUAUGUGUUAAUGCCAAUAAGAUCAGGAAUAAAAACAUUCUCAGAGGUCACAUGGCUCACUACAAAUGCUACAAAGUUUAAUGUUUAUACUUCCAUCAUGGGGAAACAAGAGGUAAAUGCUAUAUGUUAAUUGUCUGAAUACGUCAGAGGUAACCACCAAUUAAAUACCUGGGCAUUCCCAUCACUUCUAGAACACUAAAUGCUAUAGAUUGCAAUGUGUUAGUAGGAAAAAUGACAGCCAAGGUGAAAAUUUGAGGCUUGAGGAACCUGUGUUUCCCUAGUAGGCUUCAACUGGUCAAUACCAUGCUGCUGCAUAUACAUGUAUACUGGUCUAUUAUUUUCUCACUGCCUAAACAGGUGUUGAAAGAUAAAAAGCUGUUUGCAGGAAAAAUACACUCCAACAAACAAAAUUCAUGGGCUGAACUGAUCACAAUAAGUAACUUUCAAUAAUUUUCUUCAAUCUAUGCCUAAAAUAUCAAGCAAUGCCCUCACAUUAAGUCACCAAUCCUUCAAUACUUGGGGGUUCAAAGAAUAAAAGAAAUUGCAAUCCAUAAAGUCAUCAGAUACCAAGCAAAUAAUCAAAUUUCACCAACCAAAAGGUCUGUUAAGCUUAUUUAUAUCAUAUCCACAGUUUUCCUUCCACAACCUCCAUAAGAAACCAAUUUUCAAACAUUGAAACAAAUUAAAAACCAGAAAUUGAAGAAAAGCAAUUCUUAUCAAUUUAGGAAGACGAAAUCUGAAAGGUAGGUCGAAACAAAUUGAGUAAUAUGCAGCAGAAUUGGCGAUAAGGGUAUUCCCAAUUUUCUGGAAAAUGGGAUAAAAUUACAAUGGAGUUGUGAAUAGGAAAUAUUACAAGAAUGGCAAAUUAUAGAUUUUCAGAAUUUGAAUUUGGUACCUUAUUAGAAUUUCUCCUUUCAUGGGAUAUAGUAUGCAAGGGAAAAAAAAAAGGACGACUUGGGAUCACUGAUUGUGUGUUAUGGAUGAAGCUGUAGCAAGAAAGUAUGUCUGGAAUAUAGCCAACAAAGUUGAUAACCUAUGAGUAAAAUGAAUGAACAAUGUGUAUAAAGGGGGCUGACUGAUGGAUAUAUACACGUAAAUAAGACAAUUGCUAGUACUAGAAGAAGAUUUGAGGUAUGAAGAACAGAUGUAGUGUUGGAUACUGUGGAAAUGGAUGAUUCAAGGCAUGAGGAAAAUACACAAUUAUAAAAUAACAAUUAUUUUGGACUAUCUAUUUUUAGCAAAUUCGACAAGUGAAGUGGUUCGGAUGGAGUAUCUUUUCUUAAAUGUCAGCAUAGUAUUUAAUUUAUGAAUGUGUUGCAGGCAAUGUGGGAAACCAUUCAAGCCAGAGAAACUUCAUGCCCACAUGAAGUCCUGCAAAGGGAUGAAAGCUCUGUGAAAGGGUGCUCAUUCUGCUGCUUCUACUAACAAGACAUCCAAGGAUGCACCAAAUUUUUUUUUUAUAAUUAUUCUUAUUCAGCUUUUAUUGGAAUUAGAUUAUGUUUUUUUUUAGAACUUUUGGAGAAGCCUUCCAUGUAUAUUUUUGAGUAAGAAGGUUCACAGACAAAAGCCUAAGCAAUUCAUGAAUUCACAAGUAGUUAAAAGCCUGAUUUCCAUCUUAAUCUCAAGUAUUACAUCGUGCGAAUCUGAGUUAGUUGCGGCAGUGUACAACAUGGAUACAAGAUUAAACAGGCAAAAAUAACAAGACAGGCAAACUUUUGAUGAUAAAAAUAUCUGAUUUAAGUUUUUCUUUCGCCAGUUUAAUGAAGAUAAAUUAUUCUUUACAUUUGGAUACUGAAGCAGUAUUUCAUGUCUACUCCUCUCUAAAUAUCUUAGAGCCUAAUCAACUGUUAAUGACCAUAUUCAGGUCAUUGCAACAUACCUAAUCUAAUAGCAUUUGUAACAAACAAUCGAAUUUCCAGGCAGUUAGUAGUCAAUAGCUAAGAUCAUAGCUGAUUACUUGCCUCCAAAAAUCGAGGAGUCAACAUGAUCGAGCAAAAACCUAUAUAACUUGUAUAUAAGCCUUUGAUAACAUACACUCGAAGAAGACUGUUAGUAGGUACAAUUGGAGGCUAGGAACUGGACCACAACUGACAUGGGGGAGACCAAUCUGAAAUACUUGCAACAUCCCAAAACACGACUUCAUCUAUUGGCUGGCUAUACAUGGAAGACUACUAACUAGAGAGAGGCUAUACAAGAUAGGACUAACAAAAGACAGAACUUGAACACUAUGUGGGAAUGCCAACAUCACACAUCACUUCUUCGAGUGUGUGAUAUCAAAGGCUUGUAUACAAGAAAUAACGCACCGAUUGAAGUUCACAUGUGGGAGCAUAGACAUAAAGGAAGCUGAAAAUUAAUAGCACGAAGAGCGCAAGGCAAAGUUAUGAAGCUGAAAAUUAAUAGCACAAAGAGCGCAAGGCAAAGUUAGCAGGCAAUUGGUAUGGGCAAUCCUGACAGUUGCAAUAUUACACAUAUCGGAAGCUAGGAAUGAAGCAUUAUGGAAACAUAACACCUUACUGAAGUAUUUCAGUAAGCAUAACACAUUACCGAUUCUUUCUAAAGCCCGGACAAUCACCUGCCAAAUUCUACAACUGUGUUUCUUGUACUUCUUUAACUAUCUCUCCCUAACACAUUCCUUGCCUCGUGCAACGUGGAUCUAUACUGAGCGUCAUCAUUCCCUUAAAUCGGCCUCUUCUUUUCCUAAGUUUAUGUUAUUGUAAAUCAUACCAGCUAAAGUAAGCUUAAGAGUUAUAUGAGUCUUACCUUUUACUAAAUAAAUAGGAAAAUACACAACACCUUCUGUCUAGCAAGUAUGAAAGCUGGAAUAUAUUUUAGGAGUAAGAGGAAGCAGAAAAGAGAAAAAACAAAGGACAACAAGUUGAAAGUUGGUUGAACUUCUGAGCACAAUGAACUUUUUCCUCAUCAGAAUGGUAUUUCAUUCAAUUCAAAUUAUGUGUAUUACUUUUCUUUUUGAUUGUUUCAAAAGUAGCUAUAUUGAAAAGAAACUAUGUUGCUUCUAUGUGGUACUGGAAUUCCUUAAUACUACAAAUCUUUGAUAUCAAGAAUUAAGAAAAUUUAGACCAAACCAUCACUGAAUGACUAAAUACACCAAAAGCAAGGAGUAAGACACUGAGAAGGAUAAUAAUUAUAGUUUUACAAGUUUAUAUCCUACUCCCAUGGUCUUAAAAUCUACAAAUUUUUGUGAUAAGAAGGAAUUUUUCUCUUUUAUCUAUACAUAGGUAUUGGCAAUGAUUCCCCCUCUAUAAAGGUAGUAUAGCAUUUUCUACACUCUAUCCAAUAAGCUUAGAAAGCAGCUAAAGUGUAAAGUAUAGGCCAUGUUUCAUACUUUUAAGUUGGAGAAAUAAAAAUAAAAAUAUACCUUGAGUUGACAUUUUGAUGGAUCUCAAUCUUUGCUGCAUCAUAAAGAAAAAUAUGCAAAGUUAGAUACUAAAUGCUACAUAUUUAUAUAUUUAAUAUAAACAAAUUAAAAAAUACACAUCAUAUACAUUUGAGUUACUUCUAACCUUGGUGGCGAUGAGCGAGAAAGAAGUUGCAUUUUACUAAACAUUUCCUCUUGGCGUGCCACUAUAGUAUUCAAUUGAGAAUUUAAUGAUUGUAUUUGAGAUUGCUGGUCUUGUAUUUGAGAUUGUUGAUUAUCUACCACAGUUUCAACUGUAUUUAAUCGAUUCUGUAAUUCAAGUUGGGCACUAACAACUUCUUGUUUCCCCUUUUUGAGGGAGUCUUCUAACUCUGCCAUUCUCCUUUGUGUAGAUCUUGUAGUAUUAGGUUUUGGACCAUAACCAAGUCCUUUUAUGUACCCCGAUUUUGUACCAAGUAUAGUAUCCAUAAUUUCAUCAAUAGUCAUGGAAGACUCUCCCGAUGUAUAUAGAUCUUUCAAAUCUGUCAUGUUGUUCUGCAUAAACAUAUUAGAAUAAUUUAAAGGAGAAUGCACAACUUUUGAAAAACAUUAAUCUAACAGAUCCAAUGAGAAUAUUAUAAAAGAUGAAAAGUAAUUUCUUACAUAGUGAGUCUCAGCCUCUAAAGAUGACCAUCCUUUCUCACUCGUGUAAUGAGUAUGCUUAUAGAACUCGAUUCUUUCAGGCUCUACUCCUUCAGGGUUAGUUUUACCCUGUGAAAUAAGAAACAAUUGAAAUAAUACUAAAGUUUCAUUAGUCAAAACAAUAAAAAUGGUAUAACUUACAAGUUCAGCACGAGCAUGCUCAUCCAAAUUAAUCUAAAACCUCUCCUAAAAAUCAAAUAAGUAUUAAAGAAAAACACAGAACGAGCAAAAUCCCUUUCAUAUUAAAUAAUAAUCAUUACAUUUGCAAACAUACUAAUUAACUUCAAACUUAAGUACCCUUUGUGAAUCAUAUAUUGCAGUUCAAAAACUUUAUUUACUCUCAUAAACAGUGUUCUAGACAGCCGAGCUACAUACAUAAUAUCACUCUUUUCUAUUUCCAGUAAGGUAAUGUCACGAAUUGAUAAGUUAAGGAUUGACUUUAUAUGACAAGGAAAUAACAAAAAUCAUGUAUUUCAUUUUCUCAAGAUCACUAUUCCAAAUACCUUGAAGGCUUAGGUAUUAGGAACCUGACAGGACAUAAUAGAAUCUGCUAAUGAAAUGGCUAUGGGGGUUCAAUAAUUAAGAUGGUGCUUUCUGGAAAAAAAUGUUUUUUUUGUAAAAAAUGAAAUACUAUCACACUUGUCCAUUGUUGUAUCAUAGCUCCAUAUGUUUUUGGUACAUGGAAGAGCAUGGCAAAACUAAGGAAUUAAUUUAACCAGCAAUGCAGCUGCAAACCAGGUAAUGACAUUCACUUUAAAUAUUGGGAGGAUAAAUGAUCAAAGAACACUACUCUCCUAAGUGACUUCCCUACUCUAUUCUCAAUAGCCUCUGAUCCAAACUCUAUUAUCUCCUAGAACAGAGAAAAUAAAUACAUGGAUGCAAUUGUCCAGAACAAAUUUUCAUGAUUGAAAGUUGCUACUAUUACUAUCAAAACUGGAAUGUUGCCCUCAAAAUAAUCACAGGCCAAAUAAAAUCAAAUGGUGUAGGAAGACAGAUGGACAAUACACAGUGAUGAAAGCAAGGAAUCUUCAUUAUGUGCUCGAAAUGAUAUAAUAGAUAACUGCCUUGAAAACUCAUUUGUAAGACCAAAGACCCUAGUCAUAUUUCAUCUGAAUAGUCCCUCAUGAGGCCAGUCUCACUCAGGACAACCUCAGGUGAAGGGGCAUGACAACAGUUAAUGAAUGUCUCAUGUGUCAAAAAGCUUAUGAGACUAACAGACACCUAUUCCUUCAUUGUCCAGUGACCACUAAUUUUUGAAAUUUAUUUUUUACUAUUUUUUAUUUGAGUUGAGUCAUGCCUGCUGAUUUAAAGGAUACCUACAAUAGUUAGAACUCUUAAAAAGUUGAUAAAUCCAAAAGUUUGGAAACUGAUCCUUGUAUUUUUUGGUGUGUGUGGAAAGAGAGAAACAAAAGGUGCUUUAAUGGAAUAUCAACUUCAAUCUACAACUUAAGAUCAAUUAUGUUUUAACUUUAUAUUGUUAGACUAUGGUUAGAUCCGUUAGACUCUAAUGUCAAUCUUUUGGACUUUGUAAACUCUUUAGUCCUAGCAUAGGAUACUUUUAAAUGAGCUUACAAUCUCACUACUUGUGUAUCUAUAUUACUUGAAUCUUUUUUAUGCCAUUUAUCCCAUUUCUUACUUUAUCAAGAAAAUGUAGUUCAUUUCUGUGUACUCUUGAGCCAUAUGAAAUAAGAUUUUACACUACUAAACAGUGUCGAAGCAAGCAUCAAAAUGGUCUAAGGAGUUGGAGUAGGCACAAACAAAUGCUUAAGGCAAAACCUGUACAGUUCCAAACUAUAGAAGUAUUGAUCCUCUAGUUGUUAUCUUCUUUAGAUGACCCCUUAGAAAUUUUUUAGGAAGGAAGCUUGAAUGAUUGUAUACAACUAGUUGUUUUCUUCCUUAUCAAGUAGUGUAUAUGAUGCAUAGAUAGUUUAUUUUAUAGUUUGUUAGUUAUUCCUAAUAAAAUUCUUGUUAUUUUUUUUUUUAUAAAAAUAGGAAAUAAGACAAAAGAUACCAUUAGUUAACUUACUAUUAGAUAUCGACGGAGAUACAUAUAGCCGAGUAGUUCUCCAAAAAAACAAGAUGAAUGAAAAAUAGCAAUACCCAAAAAAAGAACUCAAUAUAAUCACUACCAUGAAAUAAAUUUACAAGAGUAUAGAAUCCUUAUAUGGCAUCUAAUUAGUGUUGCAUCUUUGUCCUCUCUUGUGAGUUCUUUCCACUUGUUUAGAAGCAAAAGAAAAUUUCGAGCAAUUAUCCCUAGCUCAUUGGAUAGUUUUGCCGAUUGAUCUGGUUUAGUUGGGCCUUCCUUUACCAACUGGGAUCUCUAUUUUCAUCUUUCUUCCUUGAGCCUUCUUCAUUUUUUCAAGACCUUUCCCUCUAGUCUUGCCACGACCAUUCCUGAUUCUAGUGGAAUCAUCUGAUGAAAAAAGUCAGUUCAAAAUACAACCUAUAAUCUUAAAAACAUACACGUGUGACAGUAAGGCACAUGAUGAAAACUAAAACAACUGCAUUUUUUAAAUUUAUUGUAUAUUAAUGAGCAACUGAGUCAAAAAAUUCACCGAUAAAACAAAGAGAACAUACGAGAGCUAACAACAUCUAUUUUUAUCAUUUCUAUCAUGUUUGCUGAUUAUAUGUUCGCCCAUAUUACAUAAAUGUUGUUGGAUUUCAAAGAUGUAGAUUACAACAACUACAUAUUCAGAAAAAGGUUCAAAUUGUGCAUAUUGAUAGAGUAGGUAACUUUACAUACCUAAUUUUUAUGCCAUGAUGAGCAAAGGAGAGUUAGCCAAACAUAAACCAAGUCUAAAUAGAAAUGCUUAUAUGUAAUCUAUGGAAGCAUUUUCAACUUCUUAGAGUCAAUUUGUGUAGUUUAUAUAGCAUAUUGAUAAAGUAAAAUCAAUUGCAAUUGCUCAUACAAACAACCAAUGACUUUCAUGUUAUGAAAAAUGCACCUAAGAUUAUGGAUGAUGUGAUGAAACACUUCUUUUAAAAUGUUAAUAUAUCAUAGAUAACUUUAAGAUUUAAAUCCACAAAUCUUGAGUUGAUGAUUGAAUUACAAAAAUAACAGCCAAGAUCAUCAUAAGAAUCAUUCGAGUAACUCGGAAGUACAUGUAAAAGAGGAUAUUAAAUUAAAGAAGAUAACAGAAAGGACAAAACAAACCUGCAUAAAUAACCUGCAUACAAUAGCACAAUAUCAGAUACUCGGAUAUUGAGCUAUCGUCCAUAUUUCACGUAACAAGUUUAACAUAAAUAAAAAUUUCAAUGGUUAAUGUUUUUGGCUCCAACUUAGUCAAUAACUAAAUAAAUUAAUCCUAAUUAGUAUAAUAAAAUGUAUUACUUGUAUUCACAGCAGGAGUAUGGUUAUUUGAUUCAUCUAGUGAUUGAGUAUCUUGGCUUGUUUCCCCUGUAAGUGUAGUUUGCUUAAAAACACAUCCACCCGGUGCCAUCAAUUUGCAGAAUUCUAUCAAAACAGAAAAUGUAAGUUUAGAAUGUUAAUAAGAUAUAAAAUCCAAUGGUUUAACAAAAAUAUUUAUGUAAAAGCACCAAUCAUUGACAACUAAAGGAAAAUCUAAAAAGAACAUAAUCAUUACUUCAGAAAAUCUUGCACACGCCAUUUAUCAAUAUAUAAGAGUUUACUGUCUAUCGAACUAUUGAAGAAUCUCUAGAAAAUCAAAUAACUAGUUUAACAUAUCAAAGAUAUAUUUAUGCCGGAAAUAUGUUCAAAUUUGAAGACACAAUAACUUUUUCGAAAGCUUAUAUAAGAGAAGGUCUUAAGAAGAGGUUGUAGAUCUAAAAAAUGUUGAACCUCGUGAAGAAAUGCCUAUUGAUUUUAGCAAAAAGUUUAAUUGUCCUACAAAAUAUUCAUCUCAAAUGAUGUUGUUUCAGUUCAUCCAAAUUCAAAGUUCCAUCAACCUAUCCUAACUCAAGUUCAAGAAGCAUAAUUUGACAGCCUUGAGUACCAUGUUUCACAAUCCAUCCUAUCUUCCUUCGAAAUCUGAGGGAGAACAUCAAUAAAUGAACAAACCAGAGGAAAAGUUGUUCCAAAAGAAGUCUUGAAUAGUGUAUACUUCACUAGUAUGUUUCACACACAAACUGUAAAUACGCACACCACACGAAACUGAAAUCUACAUGAUAGGUUAAGAGUGUUUGUUUUCCAAAAACUUAUAAUUAACUAUAUGAAAUAAACAUAGAGCAAGAUCAAUGGUUGCUUCACAAUAAUCAAUGAAUAAUCAUUCAAUAUAUGAUUGCCACAUAUAACUAUCUGUCUAAUUUUGUUCAAACUUAAAAUAAGACUGAUACAUACCUGGUCUUGUCAGGUUCAGAAACUUUGCUUCACAUUGUAAUUGAAACUUUUCCGUCUGUUUUCUCAUAUAUAUGGUGGUUAUCCUGAAAUUCUUUUGGAGCCAAAAGAACAAAAAAAAUUAGGGCCAAAAGACAGUUUUUUUCCAUUUCUCAGCUUUCUAUAACUUUAUUUGGUGGGUGAACAUGAAGAAGUGAAAGAAGUAGUGGAGCUUAUUAACCCAGAAACUUAGGAAGUGGAGAAGUGUGUGGUCAACUUUUUGUUUUAGGAUUUAACAUUUAUCUUUUCCUCCACUUAAUAUUUUAAAAUAAAAUUACACACAAAAGGACAUAAUGUCGAUCAAUACUUUAGAAAAAAUAAAAUUGCACACACAAAAAGGCAUAAAUGUCCAACAAUUUUAUUUAUCAAAAUAAAUUUUGAAGGUAAAUUCUUUAUGCUUAGAACUAAAAAGGAAAUCAGGAAAUGACUUCAGUUGAAUGGAAAAAGUAAAUUACUUAGAAUAAUAACAUUAGUAACAAAGGGAAAAACUACUGCAUACAUAUCAAAGAUCUCAAAAAAAAAUGUAAAAUCAAUGUCGAUUGGACUAACAAUUGUACCUCUUUUAGCUGAAACCCAAAACCCUAGGCCUUUUACUUCUGGUUGAUUAUCCUAAAAAACUUGAAUCGCUAGAGAACCCACUUCGGAAAUCAGGGAUCUAACUAAGAGCAACACGCUCGAGCACUUUUUGGUCUUCAGUCAGCUGCGAUUCUGUUGCUAAACAAACAAACCAUAGCAAGAGAGAUAGUGAAGACAUCGAUGAUGAUUUUGAGCUAACAUGCAAAGCUCCAAACCUCUGAAAUCGAAUCUGUAGUAGCUCUACAUCAGAGAUAAUGAACUCUUCGAAUGGAUCAAUUUGUGUACUUCGAAAAUAAAGAAUAGUUGAGCUAGUAAAAUUAGGGGAGAAGAAAACAAUUAGGGGAGAAGAAAGGAGAUGAAGUGGCUGGGUAGAGAAGAUGGGAGCUGAAGAGUUUCCAUAACUUUCCUAAUUUCCUAAUUAAUUAUCAUCUAAUGAAAUUUCACUUCUCUUUGAAUUUUGGGCCUAUAUUGGGCAAUGUUUUUGUUUUGUUUUCUUGAGAUUGGUACGACACACAUUAUAUAUAUAUAUAUAUAUAUAUAUAUAUAUAUAUAUAUAUAUAUAUAUAUAUAUAUAUAUAUAUAUAUAUAUAUAUAUAUAUAUAUAUAUAUAUAUAUAUAUAUAUAUAUAUAUAUAUAUAUAUAUAUAUAUAUAUAUAUAUAUAUAUAUAUAUAUAUAUAUAUAUAUAUAUAUCUGUUUUGUGGUUUAAAGUCCUAUAUUUUGCUAACAAGCAAGGGACACUCCCUUAAACUGUUUUACUUUUUUUUUUCUAAUUUAAGAGUUUCUUAAUAAAUACUCUUAAAUAUAUUUAAGUAAAAUAAAUAACAUAUUCUAAUAUUCUUUUCUUAAAAAAGGCACAAGAGCGUAGCGAGCACAAACAAAGGAAAUACACAUGGGUCUCCUUGAAGAACGGUAGCACGCUUCUUUCUCAUAUCGAUCAAGGCUUUACUUGAGUAAGGGGAAAGAAGUAAGGGUGUAGCCCUUGCGUGAAAGUCGUUGCACCUUAGCGCAUCCCUUUUCUUGCAGGACUGUUAACGACAACCUUAUGUGUAUUCUAUGUUUAGCUACAUUACCAACUGUCAAUUCUUGUUCAACUCCCUAACAGAAGCAGCAGCAACGCUGCAACUACAGCGAUCAAAAGAAAAAAAAGGACUUUUCUUGUUCUAUAGUGAGCGAACGAACGAAUGAGAAACAUAAAUUUAAAUUGAAAGUCUUGGCUCUCAAACUAAAGAGAGAGGUGGAAGAAGAAGAAGAACGAGAAGAAGGUAAGUUUCUUAACUUAGUCUAAAGGUUGAAUUUGUAUCUUCCAUGACUAUAAGAUUGGGAAUUGGGAAGUAGAGAAACAUGGGUUUAGAAGAAAAAUAGGAAAUUUAUUUCAUUCUUAUGAACCAAGUGAAUAUAGUCAAUGAUUUGAACUGUAAACUUUGCUAUUGGGCUUAUAUGCAAUAAGAGUAAUUGGGUAGUAAGGUUAGGUUGAUCUUUUUACAGCAAGAAUUGACCAAGAAGAGACUAAUGUGUGUGAUUAAAGCACUAAUUAAGUGAUUGGGCAGAUUUCGAAUCAACCAUGAAAUCUCUAGGGCUGGGUUUUUUUAAAAUGUAGUAUGAAUUACCUAAAUGAAGGAGUUAAAACGAAUUUAUUAUGAACGUGAUUAUAGAUUGACCAAAGGAAUUCAUACGGAGUAAUCUAUUGGGCUUAUAUGCAAUAAGAGUAAUUGGGUAGUAAGGUUAGGUUGAUCUUUUUACAGCAAGAAUUGACCAAGAAGAGACUAAUGUGUGUGAUUAAAGCACUAAUUAAGUGAUUGGGCAGAUUUCGAAUCAACCAUGAAAUCUCUAGGGCUUGGGUUUUUUUAAAAUGUAGUAUGAAUUACCUAAAUGAAGGAGUUAAAACGAAUUUAUUAUGAACGUGAUUAUAGAUUGACCAAAGGAAUUCGUACGGAGUAAUCGAGUGGCAAGCUUGGUAACUCAACACAAGUUACUGUGAGUAGUAAUCUUACCGCAAUUGAUGUUUUAUAACUUGCAUGACUUUCACAUGGUGUAUAAAGUAAAGGCGUUACCGAAUGUUUUAAACUUGCAUGUGGGACAAGUCUUUUACUGGAUAUGAUACACCAUGAAAUCUCUAGGGCUGGGUUUUUUUAAAAUGUAGUAUGAAUUACCUAAAUGAAGGAGUUAAAACGAAUUUAUUAUGAACGUGAUUAUAGAUUGACCAAAGGAAUUCGUACGGAGUAAUCGAGUGGCAAGCUUGGUAACUCAACACAAGUACUGUGAGUAGUAAUCUUACCGCAAUUGAUGUUUUAUAACUUGCAUGACUUUCACAUGGUGUAUAAAGUAAAGGCGUUACCGAAUGUUUUAAACUUGCAUGUGGGACAAGUCUUUUACUGGAUAUGAUACUGAAAAGAUCAUUUGAGAUGAACUCAUUCUUACAAGAUAUGAUUACUGAUAUUGAAAAGGUUUUACACUUAUUUGAGAAAUAACAUUUUGACAAGUGAUUGUUAAACUUUGAAAUGUUCUGAUUUGAUAAGAUAUAAAUGUUCUAUCUGAUUUUGAAAUGCUUCUACAAAUUAUAAGAAAAGUAUAAAUGGGAGUAGACCUUGAUGAAUCCCGUAGCUAACAGCAGGAUCGUUAGACCUGGUGCACCUUGUAGUUCCGAUUACUGAUAAAGCCCUUACUAGUGGGAAGGUAGAACUAGUAUACUGUUACUGAUACCCCUCGAGUAGGGAUCUACUGAUAUGAAUAAUUAACUCCUUAGAUGAGGAGUUCGCUGUUAUUGGUUACUUCUUAAAGAGAAGACCACAGUGAUUACAUGGUUCAUCCUUGGAAACCUCCCAGCUAUAAGAUUUGAUAUGAAAAUGUUCUUUUUCUGAGUUUGCUAUUAUGUAUGUACAUUGAUUUUGCUUAUAUGAGGCACCUAAGGUUGAACGUUGUUAUUGUUUCUAAAAGAGCAUUGUUUUAUCAUCAUGACUAUUACAGUAGCAUGUUUUUUGACUUGUCCCUCAUUAAAAUGGUUGUGGUUAAGUAUUAUUACUCACUGAGCUAGCGUCUCAGUCCUCACUAUUUUUUUUUACAGAGAAUUCAAGUGGUAUUGAAGAGGAUUUCAUUAACUAGCGUGUGAGUUGGUAGCAUAUGGUGAGCCCCACAUUGCUUCGCUUUGCAAGAGAACUAUUGAUUUGUUAUGUUUAUUUAGUUUCUUUUAAAAAAUCUUAGAGUCGCUCCAUUUGUCAUUCUUUUGAUUUGAGUCAAGAUUAGUCCUUCGAAUUGUAGUCAAGUGACUAGUUUGGAACUUUUUUCCGUAAUUUGGAGAUGAAUUGGUUUUAUUGAGUGACAAUUUGAUCAUUGAUGGAUAUUACAUGGUGGUUUAUAGUUGUUAUUAGUUGUGUUGUGAAAUUUUGAGACAGGAAAAAUCCAGGAUAGGCCUAAAAACAAAGGAAACUCUGCCCAAUUUUCUGUAGAAUUCUGGUGAGACAUGCUUUGGGAUUCUCCCCCUUAGCGCCGGUCAUGAUCCUUAAUUGGGUCGUGACAAAGUUGGUAUCAGAGCCCUAGGUUAUUCUGAUGACUUAUGGAGCACACGUUAGUAGUAGAAUCUCAAUUAUGGUUAUGUUGCCAGCCAUUUCUAUAAUCGUGAUUCUGCGAGGACGUGAUAGGAUGUGUCUUGUCUUUCUUUGUCAUUCCUAUUUAUGUGUGUGAUGUUUAGGGCCAACUAGAUUAAUCUAACAUUAUUCGUUUCUGAUAACCAGAUGGCUCGAACCCGAUUAUCUAAUGGCAGAGUUACAACAGGUGUUCCUGAGGCGCCUAAUGUCACUUCGGCUAGGCAGCCAACUUCCUCAACUUGGGGAAGGGACAGAGCCCGCAGAACCGAUCGAGGAGAGGUUCGUAAUGCUACCACAGGGAACCACAACACCACUAUUAGGACUUCAAGGGAGGUCACUCCGAAAAGGAGCGCUAGCCCACCUCCGACAUCGUUGGAGAAUGCUACUAAUGGGGUACUUGCCUCCAUGCAGAAAGCCAUAGAGAGUUUGGUCAAUAGACUGGAUAGACAGGAGAGGGAUGGUCAUCAUAAUGUUGCUGCUACUCAGACACAUGCACCACUUCAGACACAUGCACCACUUCAGACACCUGCACGGACUUAUACUUUUGGGAAUAAAGAGGUAUCCUUGCAGGAAUUCUUGAAAUUGAAAUCACCAAAAUUCACAGGUUCUGAUAGUUCAGCGGAUCCUCAAAGCUUCUUGGAUGGGACGUUCAAGGCCCUCGGGGCUCUAGGAUGUUCUAGUGAGAGAUCGGUGGAGCUAGCAGCAUACAAACUAGAGGACAUGGCUAACACUUGGUAUGAAAUUGUAUUGCUAGGUCGACCUACUGGGGCGGCACCACUGAAGUGGGAUGAAUUCACUAAGUUGUUCAUGGAUAAUUUCCUUCCUAACAGUCAGAGGCAGAAGUAUGCAACGCAGUUUGAGAGGUUGGAACAGACUCCAGAUGUGGAUGUGGCAACUUAUAAUGCCAAAUUCUGUAAGCUCGCUAGAUAUACUCCUUUGUUAGUACCUACUGAAGCAGAUAGAGUUCAGAGGUCCGUGCAUGGGUUGGUUAGUCGUCUAUUCAAUGCCCUAACCCCAAAUAUGAGUACCAUGACCUAUUCAGAAACAGUUGAUCUAGCUAGAAAGAUUGAAGAUAAGGGUCGAGAGGAGCGUGCAACCUAUGAUGUACGUAAGAAGGCCAAGAUAGGGGGAUCUUACAGCGGCGACUUGGGUGCAAAUCACAGAACAGAGAAUCAGGGAAGACAACAACAAGGCUCUCAGACACGGAUGGAUACAGUUUCAUCAGCACAGGUAUAUCGUAAUUUUGGAAAAAUGUAUGCCACUUCUCCAUCCUGCCAGACUUGUGGUAAAUCACAUGUAGGCCAGUGUUGUGUUGUCACCGAAGGUUGCUUUCGGUGUGGUCAGUUGGGGCAUCGCAUUAGGGAUUUCCCUCUACCUCCGAGAAACCCCACACAGACUUCUGCUCAGAUAGCAACACCUACUCAUACAACUCAUAAUGGUUCAGGUAAUACGGGUACAGGAAAUAGAGGUAGAGGUGUUGGAGAUCGUUUCACUGGAAAUCAAGGACAAGGGAAUGCCGAUAGAAGUCAGUCAAGAGUUUUUGCACUUACUAAACAGGAUGUUCAGGCCUCAAAUGCGGUGGUUACAUGUAUUCUUUCAGUUUGUUCCUUUGAUGCUCAUGCUUUGAUGGAUCCAGGAUCUACCCACUCCUAUAUGUCCUCAUACUUUGCUUUGGGAUUUGAUAGACAACCAGAGAUGUUGAAUCAUCCUUUUCUUGUUUCUACUCCUGUGGGGGAUUUUUUGUUAGUUGAAUAUGAGUAUCGUGAUUGUCAGAUAAGAGUUGAGGGUAGGGAUACUCUAGCUAACCUAAUUGUACUUAAUAUGAUUGGUUUUAAUGUGUUGAUGGGCAUGGAUUGGUUAUCUCCUUGCUAUGCUACUGUUGAUUGUCAUGCAAAGAUAGUCAAAUUUGAAAUACUUGAUGAGCCUACAUUUGUAUUAAAAGGGGGUCAAGUCCCCGAGGUUGGAAAAAUCAUAUCCCUUAUGAAGGCUCGAAGGUUACUACAGAAAGGUUGUAUGGGUCUCUUAGCUAUGGUAAGGGAUAUAACAGAAGGAACACUUAACUUGGAGAAGAUACCCGUGGUGAAUGAAUUUUCUGAUGUAUUUCCUGAGGAUUUGCCAGGAUUACCUCAUGUACGAGAGAUAAACUUCGGUAUUGAUUUGGCUCCUGAUACAUUGCAAAUAUCCAUACCCUCAUACCGUAUGGCACCAGCAAACUGAUGGAACUAAAACAGCAGUUGCAAGACUUACUCGAUAAGAGUUUUAUCCGACCAAGUAUAUCUCCAUGAGGCGCACCAGUAUUAUUCGUAAAGAAGAAAGAUGGGUCUCUAAGAAUGUGCAUCGACUACAAACAAUUAAACAAGGUAACGAUAUGCAAUAAGUAUCUUUUACCUCGUAUAGAAGACCUAUUUGAUCAAUUACAGGGGGCUGUCCACUUUUCAAAGAUUGAUCUUCGAUCUGGUUAUCAUCAACUCAUAAUCAGGGAGGAAUAUGUUUCCAAGACAGCAUUCAGAACUCGAUAUGGACACUAUGAGUUCCUUCUGAUGCCUUUUGGAUUAACCAAUGCGCCGGCUGUAUUCAUGGAUUUAAUGAAUAGAGUGUUCCGGCCGUUUCUAGAUAGGUUUGUGAUAGUUUUUAUUGAUGAUAUCUUGGUAUACUCUCGUAGCCAGGAAGAACAUGAGAAUAAUUUAAAGACAGUGUUACAGACUUUGUGAGAACAUAAGCUUUAUGCUAAGUUCUCAAAGUGUGAAUUUUGGCUAGACUCAGUAGCAUGUUUGGGGCAUGUAGUGUCCAAAGAUGGGAUCAAGGUGGAUUCCAAAAAGACAGAAGCUGUGCAAAAAUGGCCCAGACCUACUUCGCCUACAGAAAUUCGAAGCUUUUUGGGUUUGGCAAAUUACUACAUGCGUUUUGUGCAGGAUUUCUCCAAAAUAGCAUCUCCAUUGACUAAGUUGACACAGAAAAAUGCAAAAUUUCAGUGGACAGAAGAAUGUGAGCAAAGCUUCCAGAAACUUAAAAUGUUUUUGACAACAACACAUAUAUUGUCCUUACCAUCGGGUUCUGGAGGUUUUACGGUAUUUUGUGAUGCUUCGAGAGUUGGGUUAGGAUGUGUUCUGAUGCAAAAUGGUCGUAUUAUUGCCUAUGCUUCAAGGCAGUUGAAGAGGCACGAGCAAAACUAUACUACUCAUGAUUUGGAGAUGGCUGCAGUGAUAUUUGCUCUUAAAAUUUGGAGGCAUUAUCUAUACGGUAAAACUUACGAGAUAUAUACUGAUCACAAGAGCUUAAAGUAUAUUUUUCAGCAGAAAGACCUGAAUCUUCGACAGCGGCGAUGGAUGGAGCUAUUCAAGGAUUAUGAUUGUGUUAUUUUUUAUCAUCCUGGAAAAGCUAAUGUUGUGGCUGAUGCAUUGAGUAGAAAAUCUAUGGGCAUUUUAGCACAUAUAGUUCCUGAAAAGAGGCACUUGGCAAAAGAUGUGCAGAAACUUGAAGGCGCAGGUAUUAAAUUUAGUUUGGGAAAUUCAGAGAUAUUGCUAACUUGUGUGCAAGCCAAAUCUUCAUUAGUAGAGUGCAUUAAAACUACUCAAUAUGAGGAUGAACAACUUUGCAGAUAUCGAGAUGAGGUCACAAUUGGUAAAAGUGAGCAGAUGAUGGUUGACAGUGCUAUGCUUUGAGUAGGUAAUCGGUUGUGUGUACCAAACAUAGGUGGGUUAAGAUAAGUUAUUCUUGAAGAAGCUCACAACUCUAGGUAUACUAUGCACCCUGGUUCCACUAAGAUGUAUCAUGAUCUAAAGCAGUUGUAUUGGUGGGAAGGUAUGAAGAAAGAUAUUGCUAAUUUUGUUUCUAGUUGUUUGUCUUGUCAACAGGUUAAAACAGAGCAUCAACGACCUGUAGGGUUACUACAAGAGAUCCAAAUUUCGGAGUGGAAAUGGGAAAGAAUCACUAUGGAUUUUGUGGUUGGUCUACCCCGAACUCUCAGAGGUUAUGACUCUGUAUGGGUAAUUAUAGACCGAUCAACAAAAUCAGCACACUUCUUACCGGUAAAGGCUACAUAUGGUGGAGUGAAAUAUGCCCAGAUAUUUAUGAAUGAAAUUGUUCGACUUCACGGAGUGCCAAUAUCCAUCAUAUCUGAUAGAGGGUCACAAUUCACUUCACGCUUUUGGAGAUCCUUUCAAGAAGCCUUGGGUACUCGAGUAGACCUUAGUACUGCAUUCCAUCCAUAGACAGAUGGGCAGUCUGAGCGUACUAUUCAAAUCUUAGAGGAUAUGUUGAGAGCUUGCAUUCUUGAUUUUGGAGGUAGUUGGGAUGCUUACUUGCCUUUAGCUGAAUUUGCCUACAACAAUAACUUUCAGUCCAGCAUUCAGAUGGCUCCAUAUGAAGCUUUGUAUGGAAGGUGAUGUCGUUCUCCUAUAGGGUGGUUUGAAGUUGGAGAGGCCAAUGUGUUGGGACCAGACUUAGUACAAGAAGCCAUGGAUAAGGUCCAGUUGAUUAGGCAGAGAUUGCUUACAGCUCAAAGCAGACAAAAGUCUUAUGCGAAUAAGAGAAGAAUAGAUCUCAGGUUUACGGUUGGGGACAAAGUUUUUCUACUAGUUUAUCCUAUGAAAGGUGUGAUGCGUUCGGCAAAAGAGGUAAAUUGAGUCCGCGAUAUAUAGGACCAUAUGAGAAACUUGAUCGGGUAGGAGGAGUGGCGUAUCGUUUGGCACUGCCUCCCAAUAUGUCUUUCAUCCAUCCAGUAUUCCAUGUUUCUAUUUUGAGGAAGUAUAUCUCAGAUUCCUCUCAUGUACUUGAAGCACCGACUAUACCAAUUGUUGAGAACUUAACAUAUGAAGAGGAACCUGUGGCUAUUUUGGACAAACAAGUAAGAAGGUUAAGGUCAAAAGAAAUUGUGUCCGUGAAGGUCUUUUGGAGGAACCAUACCACUGAAGAAGCUACUUAGGAGUUGGGAAAGGAUAUGCGAGACAAGUAUCCUCUCUUGUUUCAGUCUACAGGUAUACACUUACUUUAAAUUUGGGGACCGAAUUUCUUAAGGUGGGGAGAAUGUAAUACCCUAUAAUAAAAUAAGGGCAUAAUUGUCAUUUAGCUCUCAUUUUAAAUUAGAAAAAAGGAUAAAAAAAAAAGGAGGCUGAAAGCCCUAACAGAAGCAGCAGCAACGCUGCAACUUCAGCAAUCAAAAGAAAAAAAAGGACUUUUCUAGUUCUAUAGUGAGCGAACGAACGAAGGAGAAACAUAAGUUUAAAUUGAAAGCCUUGGCUCUCAAACUAAAGAGAGAGGUGGAAGAAGAAGAAGAACGAGAAGAAGGUAAGUUUCUUAACCUAGUAUAAAGGUUGAAUUUGUAUCUUCCAUGACUAUAAGAUUGGGAAUUGGGAAGUGGAGAAACAUGGGUUUAGAAGAAAAAGAGGAAUUUCAUUCUAAUGAACCAAGUGAAUAUAGUCAAUGAUUUGAACUGUAAACUUUGGUAUUAGGCUUAUAUGCAAUAAGAGUAAUUGGGUAGUAAGGAUAGGUUGAUCUUUUUAAAGCGAGAAUUGACCAAGAAGAGACUAAUGUGUGUGAUUAAAGCACUAAUUAAGUGAUUGGGCAGAUUUCGAAUCAGCGAUGAAACCUCUAAGGCUGAGUUUUUUUUAAAAAUGUAGUAUGAAUUACCUAAAUGAAGGAGUUACAACGAAAUUAUUAUGAACGUGAUUAUAGAUUGACCAAAGGAAUUCGUACGGAGUAAUCGAGUAGCAAGCUUGGUAACUCAACACAAGUACUGUGAGUAGUAAUCUUACCGCAAUUGAUGUUUUAUAACUUGCAUGACUUUCACAUGGUUUAUAAAGCAAAGGCGUUACCGAAUGUUUUAAACUUGCAUGUGGGACAAGUCUUUUACUGGAUAUGAUACUGAAAAGAUCAUUUGAGAUGAACUCAUUCUUACAAGAUAUGAUUACUGAUAUUGAAAAGGUUUUACACUUAUUUGAGAAAUAGUAUUUUGACAAGUGAUUGUUAAACUUUGAAAUGUUCUAAUUUGAUAAGAUAUAAAUGUUCUAUCUGAUUUUGAAAUGCUUCUACAGAUUAUAAGAAAAGUAUAAAUGGGAGUAGACCUUGAUGAAUCCCGUAGCAAACAACGGGUUCGUUAGCCCUGAUGCACCUUGUAGUUCUGAUUACUGAUAAAGCCCUUACUAGUGGGAAGGUAGAACUAGUAUACUGUUACUGAUACCCCUCGAGUAGGGAUCUACUGAUAUGAAUAAUUAACUCCUUAGAUGAGGAGUUCACUGUUAUUGGUUACUUCUUAAAGAGAAGACCACACUGAUUACAUGAUUCAUCCUUGGAAACCUCCCAGCUAUAAGAUUUGAUAUGAAAAUGUUCUUUUUCUGAGUUUGCUAUUAUGUAUGUAUAUUGAUUUUGCUUAUAUGAGGCACCUAAGGUUGAACGUUGUUAUUGUUUCUAAAAGGGCAUUGUUUCAUCAUCAUGACUAUUACACUAGCAUGUUUUCUAACUUGUCCCUCAUUAAAAUGGUUGUGGUUAAGUAUUAUUACUCACUGAGCUAGGGUCUCACUCCUCGCUAUUUGUUUUACAGAGAAUUCAAGUGGUAUUGAAUAGGAUUUCAUUAACUAGCGUGUGAGUUGGUAGCAUAUGGUGAGCCCCGCAUUGCUUCGCGUGGCAAGAGAACUACUGAUUUGUUAUGUUUAUUUAGUUUCUUUUAAAAAAUCUUAGAGUCGCUCCAUUUGUCAUUCUUUAGAUUUGAGUCAAGAUUAGUCCUUCGAAUUGUAGUCAAGUGACUAGUUUGGAACUUUUUUCUGUAAUUUCGAGAUGAAUUGGUUUUAUUGCGUGACAAUUUGAUCAUUGAUGGAUAUGACAUGGUGGUUUAUAGUUGCUAUUAGUUGUGUUGUGAAAUUCUGAGACAGGAAAAUCCAGGAUAGGCCUAAAAACAAAGGAAACUCUGCCGAUUUUCUGUAGAAUUCUAGUGAGGCUUGCUUUGGGAUUCUCCCCCUUAGCGCCGGUCAUGAUCCUUAAUUGGGUCGUGACAAAGCGAUAACUAUUUGAAGGCCUUACACCAACACUAGUUGAACCGUACCUUGAAAAUAAGGUGGUAGGCCGACGUUGAACUCUUCAACUUGGCCACUGAAGAAGGGGAAGACUGGGUAUGCAUGAAAACUAAUGUUUGUGGUUUGAGUUCGCUUAUACAAGAGGAAAUCAUGAAUGAUCCUUUGAGGGAUUGAAUUUUUUUAUAGUGAAAAAUCCAUAAAGCACGACCCAAGAUCCACGAUACGAAAAUCUAAAUAAGAAUAACAAUGCUUAAAUAAAUCUUUAUGUUUAAAAAGUAUCAACUCACAAAAAAAAUCACUUUUUAGUUUAGUAUUUAGUAAAUUGAAUUAAUUAAAUUUAAAUUUCAUGUGACACAAGAGGAUCUAAAAGACUCAAACAAAUUAAAAUAAAAAAAUAUAAGGUAAUUGUUAAAUUUUUUUCUAAUUAAAAUAUGUCAAAUUGAACUACAAAUACCUCAAUUUUUUUGUAUCAAUAUAAUGAAUCAAUCAAUUAAGUUUAAUAUAGUUAGCUUUUUCCCCAUAAAGUGCAAGCUGAAAUAAUCGAUAAUUAUUUAACCCUUUAAAUCAUAUAUUUUUAAAUUAUUUAUAUCUUCCUAUUAAAAGAGAAAAAAGGUUCUACUUUACCUUAAUUAAAGAGUUGUGGCUAUAGCCUUGGUCCAUUCAGAAAUUAAAGAAAAUCAGCUUCUAUUGUUUUGUUCUUCUACAGCGCAGCUGCACUUUUGCUCUUCAUCUUCUCACAUAGUCGAUCAGAGCUCAUUGGUAAGUGUCCUCUUUUACUUCAAUCUUGUUCUCUCCUCAUACUUCCAUGGCCCUUUUCUCCUCUGUUCAAUUCUUCGUAUCAAAAUACUAUAGUGACCUGAACACUUAAGAAAUUUUUAAUUCCUUGCUAAAAUCUCACUCACUACGAAGAACGGUUCGAGUCAUAGUUCAAUUUUUUUUUUGGGGUGUUGCAUUUGUAUUACUUCCUCUUCUCUUUACAUUGACUUCUCCCUCUCUAUGAAUUCUGUCAUAGAUGCUUGGUGCUCCAAAGCUUGGAGACCGAACACCGAUCACUUAACUUGAUAGAUAGCAUAGAAUAAAAUAUUACAAGUUAGCCCAUAGAUAUAUAAGAACCUAAAUAGUAGCAAUUGGUUAAAAAAAAGAAGCUUUUUUAUUGAAAAAUAAAUUAUUUGGACAUUAUUGCUGAAGCUGACCAAAAUAUAACUGUAAAAAAGAGUAGACUGUUGUGGACAAAAAGGAAAAGAAUCAAAUGAUUUGACACUUUGAUGUUUUACUUAUAUAAAUUACAAACUAAAAGCUACGCAUAAAUUUUAUUGUAACAGUAGAAACUUUAAGGACAAGCAAAUAAAUAUUGAAAUGUGAAGGAUGAUAUUACCUUCAUUUAUGUGUAGCGUACAAUUAUGGAUAAUUAUUACCUUCAUUUUAAUAUGCACUGAAUCAAACAUUAUGGCAAUUUAGUCUGGAUACAAAAAUAUCAUAAAUUACAUCAUGUAUUCUAUAUGCAUAUUCAUAUUGGGUAGAUAAAGAGACUAACUGUUAAUUAUGGCUCCAUAACUGAUAGUGGCUCAACUUGGAAAAUUUGCAUAGAUAAUGAAUUGGGAUAGGAUAUGUUAGAUUAAUAUAAAAACCAAGAGCAAAUAUUACCAUAAAAGAAUGUGGGCAAUGGAUUGGGUUGCUCCUCUCUAAACUAGAGGUUUUAGGUUCAAACUCUGGAUAUGAAAAAAUUCUUGGUAGGAAAUUUUUCUAAGUAGCUAAAGGGUAAUACUCAAACUUUGAAAUUAACAGCUUCCCACUAUUAGCAUAGUCUAGUAAAAUAAUAUUAUAUGAUAUGAUUAAUAAGGGUCAAUUAGCACACAACAAAGAUGGUUAAUAUUCAUUUGUAGUAUAGAAAAGGUGGUUCUUGCCUUUGAAUGGAGACACUUUAAUAGGAUUGUCUUAACUACCCCACGAUAAUGGUCUUUAUAUGGCACAGACAUGGUGCACUGGUUCUUGUCAAUAUUUUGAUGGUAAAAAUAAAAAAAAUGCUAUAAAAAGUUAAUUAAAUAAUACCAUGUAUGACUCAAUCUUUUAAAAAAAAAUUUACAUUUGCAUCUGGUACACCUACUAAAUAGCUAAAGUCCUACAUAUCUUUUUAUUUUUUUAAAAAUAAUUUUUCCUUACAAAUGAUUCUUGCAAUGCUUUUGCAGAUUCUUUGAAGUGGCAUAUUUAUCAUUGGGAAUCAGUUGGAUAUUCGUGGAACAAUAGGCAUAGAAAUGUUGUCACCAAAGAUAGAAUAUAAUGCUUAUUUGGUGUUCAAGUUGGUAAAUAUGUGUGAUUAUAGACUUGAAUAUGCUAAAUCAACUAUUAGAUUUGUUAAUUAUGACAGUGAAACUGAUACUGAAAAUCAGGCCAACACUGUGCACCUUCCAAGAUUGCAAGAAAGUGGGAAUAUCCCAAAAAUGAGAGGAGAUGGAUGGAUGGAUGGAAGUAAAAUUGGGAUAUUUUGAUAGCAAGAAAGGCAUCGACGGUCUUGUUGAAGCAAGACUGUUUUAGAUGAAUCAUAUUUACAAAGGUGGACUCAUUGUUGAAGGAGUUGAGUUUCGUCCAAAAUGAGACGCGGAUAUGAGAUUUUAAGUUUUACAAGUUUUGAACAAGAAUUCUUUGAAUUCUUAUUCUGAUUACUAUUUUAAUGUUGUCAAUUUACUAUAGACAAUUCAUAUACAUUGCAUAUCCUUAAGACUUUAAUAUUACUUAAUAAUUUGGAUGUCCUCUUUCUACCUUGUGGCCUAUAUAUUUUGGCUUCAACUUCACUUUUAGAAGGAAGAAAAAAGAUGAAGAAAAAUUCCUUCUUCCGAUAUUUUUAUUAUGUUGGAUUUUCUUUUAUGUUAGUUUAUGUGCUUCUAGUUUUAUAUUAAAAGAGAGCUUUGAUGAAUCCUGAGGAUGGAGAAAUCUUUUUUUGAUUUCAACUAAUGGAUCAAUUUCAACUAUGUCAAAGGAAGAAAAUAUGGUGUUAUCAUUUGGAUGUUGUUCCCAAAGAUCCAUCAUGUUCAUCUCCAUCUUCUUUAGGUGCUUAAGCUAAUAAGGUAUGACAAUACUAUAAGCCUAUAUGUUUAAUGAACUUCUGUGGAAUAUUCUGAGAAAUGAUAAUCAUGCUAAGUAAAAAUAAAUUUGACUAACAAGAUGAUAUAAUUAUUGUGGUAAUUUCUCAAGUACCAAGACCAAUGACGGAGGGUGCAUGGGUGAUUCCAGCUGAUAUUCCUGCAGCCUUCAGAUGUGUAUGAGCUCCUCCACACACUUGAUCCUUCUAGCAUUUUCCCCCCUUUGUCUCUAUGUCCAUAUCAUAAGCUUCUGAACCUUCCUUAGCCUGUAGCAUUUUUUUUUGCAUUCCCUUUAUCGAGAAUGCCUUCUCAGGUAGCAAACUUUCCCGGGUCUCUUUGUUCUUUCCCUCUAGUGCCACAUGUAUUCAAUCGAUUUUCACCCUAUACAAUAGGAAAACUAAUUGAAUGACAUGAUCAAUGACUUGGAAGAAUUUAUACCCUAUGUCUCCGAUGCUUCUCAAACUUGGUCCAUAAUAUCUUUAUGCUUGAUUGGAUCUAUCACUGGAAAAAUGAACUUCGAUUCACAACUGCUUACAGAUUCCUCUGUUUUAGUUGGUUGAACGAAUAUUCGUGGCACUUUGGUGUUUCCAGCAUCAACAUUUCCUUUUGAUACCAGCCUCAAGGCUUUUAAAUCGUUUGUUACAUAUAUUAAAUGAGACUUUUUGUCAUUACAUAACAAAGGAUUUAACAACACGAUACAACAAAACUUAAGUUGUCUUUACAAACAAACGUUGUAUUUAAAGUAACAAGACGAUACAAUACAAUAGGUAAUAACAAGCAUCCAAAGAAAACUUCUCAGUUCUCAUUAUAAAUUCAGUGAUUACAUUAAGAUUAGAUCUUGUAACGCAACAAUGCAAAAAUUCCAUCUAGACCUUUCUUACGGAAGUACUCACGAUAGCCUUUCACUGUGGUUGCAUGAUAUUUUGGAGGGUUAUCUUCUGACAACAAUUCAGAAAUUGGUCCAUAAAGCUUGGAAGAUGACAUUGAAUCUGUGCCGAAGAAGCAUGGAACUGAUACUCUUGGUCCAACUUUGUUUGCCAAUACUCUGUGAUCAACACUUGUGUACUUAUCAUUUGAUAUGAUCUGAAAAAAGCAACCAAAAUAAGCAAAUGGUAUAUUAAAUCUUAUCGAUCGUACAUGGAUUAGAAAAUAACAAGAAAACUAGCUUGCAUAAGAUCUCCAAUGUUGACCACAAGAGCACCACCCGACACCUGAUCUGGGACCCAACCUCAACUCUGACACUCGUCUGAUAUCACCACCCCGACACCCAACCUAGAAUUCGACCUCGAAUGCUUACCAAUGAGGUCCCUCAAAGCCAAAUAUAUAUGGAUGGGCGCUCUUCCCUACAGCAGUGAAUAAAAAAGAACUUUAAGACGAACAACAUUUUCCAGUGAGAUAAAAAUAUCAAUAUACAGAUGCAGACAUGUGACAUACCAACGUGGCCUCCGGACAAUAUCACUGUAUCUUUAUCAGAGAAUCCUAUGUUGUAAAAUACGCCCCUCAAGUGUGGAGGACGAAAAGGGCAUUAGCGAACAAAGUAAGUGAUAUGCAACAUCCAAAGAAUAUGUUCCAAAUUCAGAACAAUAAUUAAGUUGUAGAGCACUCUUGGAAAUUAGCUCCUUCUAAACAUUCUUAUAGUUGCGAAGGACACUACAAAUAUUAUAAAUAACUUAAAAGUCUUAGUUUAAUAUAAAUAGAGUAAAGAUGAAACAUCAUCAAAACAUAAAGUAAAAGAAAAUUGAAGAAAAUCAUGAAUUCAUAAUCCAAAGUCAGCGCCAAUAAGUGAUGUAUAGCCAAUAUUCAUAUUCAAUUUUUAUUCCCAUUGAUUUUUUCUUGGAUGCGGCAACCAAAAGUUUUGGAUGGAUGAAGAAGUUUUGUAUGCUAUCACUACAGUCAAUUUCACGUAUGGCUAAUGAAUUUUUAGUCAAAGAAUUAACAAAUUUUAUAUAAAAUCUCAUUUAAAGCCAAUUUUGGCCGUGUAGAGUGAAGGUUGAAGAUCAUUUACAAUUGGUUGCCACCUUCUGAGUCUAGUUGAUGGCCUAAGAAGCGACAUUAUCAAAAUAAUUAUAACUCUCUCACACACACAUAUAAGGAGUAAAAGAACAAUUCCAGUAGAGAUUAAAGAUUAUUUAAGAUUAGAGUUUGAUCAAAUACUUGUCUGAACAUCACGUGUGAUUCUCUUCUACUGUAUUCUCUUUGUGUGGGUGAUAGACCGACCAUCUAUGAACACUAACACAAACUUAAAGUAAGUAAAUAUUAAUUUGUAAUGGAAGUAAUAAAACCUUUGAAAGGGUAAAGCCUCAAAUCCAAAUUAAAAGGUGUAUAUUAAAUGAAGAACUAUUAUACCUGCUGAAUUGCAUAUUUGUUGGUUUUCUAUAACUGGACGAAGUGUCUAGAAAUCAUGAUCAAGAAAUCAAUCAAUUCCUGAUUCUUCAUGUCACGACCCGAUCCUACACCCUGGACGUGUCCGGCACUCGAGAAUCAUUGUUGGUUCCCAAGCAAACCCUCAUCCUAGCUAACUACAAGCGAAAGACUAACUUAAGCAUACAUAAGCCUCAAUUGAAAGAAAUGUUAAAUCAACAAUGUAUUAAAUCUCAAAACUUUUUGAAUAUACUGAAUAUUAAACAUAACUUUUAAAGAAAACCUCUGAAACUGAAAGACUCUCCAAACUCUCUAUCUAUGAAGCUCUAUUGUACUAGUGGAUCCACUUAUACCUUGUCAGGGUAUAGAACAUCUCAACUAAGUGGAUCCACUAAGCUCUGUCGGAAGGCACUUAGGAUUUAUCUAAAAGUUAUGAUCAUGUACCCAUGUUGUCAUACAUAGUUUAUGAGGAAUGUGAGUUGUACGGACUCAUCCCCUUAUUGGUGCUCAAUACUACUCCCAAUAAUAUAUACUCAUGCUCAAUGUUUAAAAACAUACUCUUUCUCUGGUUUGAGAUAAUUGCUCAAACUAUCCUCUUAAAAGAGGUAACUUCUGUGAAAUAUCUUUGAACUCAUAAACUCUUUUUAUAAAUCAAAGUUUCUCUUUUUCUCAAUGUAAAAAAUGAUACCUUUUGGAAAUACUUAGUUCUCUAAUACUUUUUACUCAAUUCAUAUUUGAAAACUCUUUCUCAAAAAUAUAAUCAAAAUCAUAUCGUGAUAUGAUCGUUGAUGACUCGGGAAGUCAUAUUGCAUAAACAUUGAUGGCAUAUUUAGAUACCAUAUUGUUUAAACAUUGAUGACAUACUCGCUUGUCAUACUAAUCAUGUUUUUAAAAACUCUUUAUCAAAACUCAUCUUUACUUCCUCAAAAACUCAGUUUAAAAUAAAAAUGUUGCUUUAAAAGAUUCUCAGAAAUUAUAACUCAAAAUAGGGUUCAUGCUGAAAUAUAGACAUGGACAAAUCAAACUCAAGGAUCCCAAUAACAAUUUAGAAAACUCAAUACUCAGAACUCAAGAACUCAAAACUCAAUGAUACUACUCAUCUCAAGAAUACUCAAUUAAUAGGGUUCAUGCUCAAAUAUAGACAAGAAAAUGCUUCCAAAAUCUCUCUCCCAAGCUUCCAAAAUGGAGAAGAAAGUGAAAUAGAAGAAAGGGGGCAGAUUUUAGCCAUUAAUUGAAUAUUUGACCACGAAUUGACUAUGUUGACCGAGGUCAACAUCAGCAAAAUUAGCUCCCUAAAAUUAGCUCUCGAGAUUCUUUCAAGACUCGAUAAAAAUAAACCAAAUAUGCUACCCUACUAAAUUCGACAUUUGGAUUCAAUUGAAUCGUCGGAUUUUCUGAAAAAAAGAUUGUUUUGAUAGAAAUACCCUCCUGGACCUCUCUUUAUGCCUUAACCUCAACUUCUCUCCUAAACACCCAACUCUCAACCUAAGGCCUCAAAAACCUUACCAACCACUCUACUUGCUCGAACUUGACAUUCCGAAUACGAUGGAACUACUGGAAUUCCCAUCCAAUCCUCAAAACUCAAAAUGUUGGCCAAACUCAACCUAUGAAGAAUUCUCAACUCAAUAAGAGUCAAAUUAUUAAAAACACACUCGAUCGCAUUGGGGACUACACCAACCAUCCUCGAAACACAAACUAAGCAUAAAAAUGCUACAAGGAAGGGAAUAAUGGUCAUUUCACAAUUAAAAACAAAAAUACAAACAAUGAGGCAUUACAAGUCGAUCUCCUAUCAAUUUUGGAUCCAUUAUAGUCUGCAUCUACAGAUUAUCCAACACAAGUAUGAUUGUGAUUGCUAUACAAUAUGCCAAGUCCAAGAGCCCCUUUCAAAGUAACAUAGAAUUUUGUGUCAAGGCUUCCCAAUGUUUGAUCGUAGGCACAAACAUGAAUCGGCUAACAACACUUACCACAACAGUAAUAUCCAGAUGAGUCACAUUAAGGUAGUUUAAUUUUUCAACAAAUCUUUUAUAGCUAUCAGUAUCAUUAAAAGGAACACCAUCAUCUUUCUUAAGAUGCACGUUGGGAACCAUUGGAGUACUACAAGGUUUGGCUGCCAACUUUCAGAUGUCUACAAGUAGGUCAAGAAUAGAGAUAGAAAAAGUUCCCUUCUUGCUUCUAUUAACUUCUACUCCCAAAAAGUAUCUUAACAGACCUAAGUCUUUCUUAUGAAAUUUAGCAUAUAGGAAAGAUAUCGUAUAAUCAUGUAACACCUAAGAUUUGGAAAAGAAGGAAAAUAUUUAUUUUGGAUUGCAGAUUGUGUCUACGUUCCCAUCUAAGGACCGUAGAAGCUUCUACGGGUCGUAGAUGGAAACUGUACAAAGGGGGAAAUAAUUUUUUGAAAUCAAGUCUCAGUACGCUUUUUACGGUUUAUCGGGGUUGUCCGUCAUUCCUUGUACGAGUCGUAGAUAGGUCUCACAGGUGAGUCCCAAACUUAGUUAAAUUUUAAGGGUCAAAGUGGGGUUCUAUGGUUGGUUUCUAUGGACCGUAGGAAGACCUACGAGACGUAGAAAUGUUCCGUUAAAAAAGAUAGUGAAAUUAUGGUCCUACUACUUGGUCUAUGAUUGACUUGUAUGGACCGUAGAAAGUCCUACGGUCCGUAGGUCUGAAACACAGGCCGAAGUCUGGCAGUUAUUUAAAGGGUCUUUUCUCUAAUUGUUUUAAAUCAAAACUAUGUCGUUUUUCCUUCUAGCGUAAGCCCUGUAGAAAUGUUUUAAGCCCCAAAUCACCCACUUUCAACUCAAUCUCCUAAAUUCCCUAAACUCACCAAAGUCAUCCUCUCAAAUUCUCUUAAGACUAAGGAAGAAGAAGAGCUAGGAUUCCAUCCAAGUUUUCAAUCAUCCAUUCUUCUUGGCCUUUUGGAAUUAAGGUAUGUGAGUAUUCACCCAUGGAGUACUUUCCUCCAUGGGGUCCUCAAAGGUUUUCAAAUUCUCUUUUUAAUUUCAUUGAUUCAAAUUAGGGUUUCAAUUCAAUGUCAUGGAUUUAUUCAAUUGUGAAUGAUUAUUGUUAAUUAAGUUUUCUAAUGCAUGAUUCAAUGUUAAUACAUGAUAUGUAGUUGAAAUUAUGUUUACCCAUGCCUAAAUUAUGAUUUUUCAACUAUUAAGCUAUGACGAACUCAUAAACCUUUGAAUUAUGAAAUUUAUGAAGAUAUACAUGUCUUUCUAAAGUUAUUAUAAAUGAAUUUUAGGAUGUUUUGAAUGGAAAGUAUCAAUGCUAUUGUCAUAGGUUAUUUCACAUGCUAUUAGGAUAAUGAUUGUGAAAGAUAUUUCUCACAUAUGGAUUCACUUUGAUGAAAUUAAAGGUUUUCUUAUCUAUGUUGACUUAUGCUUAAGGACCUAUUCUAUGUUUUAGUUUUGAAAGAUGUGGAUUGGUAUUGGUCAUUGCCUUUCCUAUGUUAAAUUGAUAUUUGCUUUCUUAUCUAUUCGAUUAAGAUUUAGACUUAGCACCGAGAGGGCUUUGAGAUGGAGGCUCAAAUAGGGUAGUCUCUAGUAGCAACCUCUAGUCCCAAACUACGUGCUCCCAUAGAAUUGUCUUAAAUGACCUAAAUAGUGGAUCCACUUUAGCAAAACAUGAUAUGUACGAAUUCUACCAUGGAAAGUAGUUUCCCCUUCUUUCGGUAUGAGGAAUAUACCAAAUUCUAUGAUAUAGAUCUCAUGGUCUUGUUGUCGGUUAAAGGUAAAAUUCCACAAAAUUGACUAUGUUUUCUUCAAAGUUUUUCUUAUGUCCUUUAUUCCAAAUGCAUUGACUGUAUCCUAUAAUUUUCAUGUUUUAUUUCUUAUGUUAAAAUGUUCAAUUAUUGAUCAUGUCUACAUGUUUUAAACAAUUUAUACUAUCAUGUUUAUGUUGAUGCAUAUUUCCCCAUACUUAGUACAUUUCAUGUACUAAUGCAUACUUGUACCUACAUUAUCUCAUGAAAAAGGGUACGACGUUCCUACUUCGCACACUCGUGGCUAUACAUCUCUUAGGUGCUUAAGUUGAUUGGUGAGUAGGUGUUUAAGUUGAUUGGUGAGUCCUCAUGAUCCGAGGAUUGAGACACUAUAUAUUUGUUUAUGUCUUUUAGUUUCAAACUUUGUAAAUGAUGUAUGAGUUACGUCCUAAUCUCUUUCCUCGUGAUGUAUUAAAUGGCUUUGAGACUUAUGUUAGACUUCUGCUUUGUUAAACUUUUGAUAAAUGAUGUAUGCUAGGUGGCUUGUGUAGGACCUCUCGGGGUCUUAUACGCCAUGUUACACCUAGAGGGUGUACCCUUGGGUGGUGAAAAACUUGGUAUUCAGAAACAAGGUUUAGAAAGGUCCUAGGAUGUCUCGUAAGACACGUCGAGUAGAGUCUUAUUCAUAAAUAUGAAACGCGCCACAUUUAUGAAUAGGAGGCUAUAAGAUGUUUAGGAAAUUCUGCUUCUUUCAUCAUUCUAAAUUCUUGCGGUUGAGUUAACUCUAAAUGUCUCACUCCUUAACCUUAUCUAAUCCUUUUCGAGAUAUGGACCCUCAAGAGCUUAUUUUAGGAGGAAUAUGAAUGAGAACGUGGAACCAUAAUCUCCUCAAGAAGCUCCUCAAGUUCUGGCCGAUCCUUUAGUCGAACAAGUGACUAAUGCGGAGUUUCAAGCUGCUUUUCAAGUGUUGGGUCAUGCUGUGACUACUCAAGCCAAUAUGGAGGUUGUGGUCCCCGUGAACCUAAAUGUGGGUAUGGUUGCAUCUAGAGUAAGGAACUUCACUUGGAUGAAUCUCACGUCCAAGGUCAAGGAAGCUCAAGAGUUCAUUGAUGAUCCAUAAAAGGUGUUAAUGAUCAUGGGAGUGACAACGGUGGAAAAGGCAGAAUUUUGCUCUUAUCAACUUAAGGGUGUUGCUCAGAUUGUGUUCAACUGAUGGAAGGAAUAGAGGACAGUUGAUGUGGGUCCUCUUGAUUGGGAAAAGUUUAAGGUUGCUUUCCUUAUAGGUUAUUUCCCAUUGAGAUGCGGUAGGCAAAGGUACUUGAGUUCAUCAACCUUUUUCAAGGAAAUAUUAGUGUGAAGGAGUAUGCCUUUAAGUUUAUGCAAGCUUUUAGAUAUGCUCUUACAAUGGUUGUCGAUCCUAGGGCAAGGAUGAGAGUUUGUUUCGAGAGUAUCCGAGAUGGUGGUUAAAGAAUGUCAUACAACCAUAAUCAUCAAUGAAUUGGACAUUUAUCAUCUAAUGAUUCAUGCUCAAUAAUUUGAAGAAGAGAAGCUUAAGGAAAGGUCUAGAGAGGUAAAGAGGCAAAACACUGGUGAUGGUGACUUUUCACAUUCAAGGUCCGACGGACAUGAUCAUUCUAAGUUCCGACAAAGGUUUUCUGGUCAAGGUUCCUCUAAUGUUCCAGCUCCUAAGUUAAACAAAGAAAGUAUGUCUAACCCUAAGACUUAAGAAGGAAAUAGUAGUGGAAAUGGAUCUUCGUUACCCACAUGCCAAAAGUGUGGUAAAAGUCAUUCGAGAAAAUGCUUGGUUGCUACAGAUAAUUGCUUUGGUUGUGGUAAAAGUGGUCACUGCUUGAGGUAUAAUCCAUCUAUGAAUGACAAAGUAAAGGAUGGUAGGCAAGAUCCACGUAGUUUUUUGGGUUCAAGUUCUCCAAAGCAACACUGAUUCUAUGCACUUCAGACUCAUCAUGAUCAAGAGCGUUCUCCCGAUGUUUUACCGAUAUAUUGAAACUCUUUCAUCUUGAUCUUUAUUCCUUGCUUGAUCUCGGUGCUACCUUAUCUUUUGUGGUGACCUAUGUGGCUAUGAUAUUUGAUGUUCUUCUGGAUGUGUUGUUAGACCUUUUUUUUUGUCUCUACUCUUAUUGGUGAAUCUAAUGUGGCUAAGAGAGUCUAUUGAAAUAGUGUCGUCUCCUUAUCUCAUAGAGUCACUCAUGUUGAUCUAGUAGAGCUUGAUAUGUUAGAUUUUGAUGUUAUUCUUGGUAUAGAUUGGCUUCAUUCCUGUUAAGCUUUUAUUGAUUGUAGAACCCACUAGUUAAGUUCCAUUUUCCAACUGAGUCCAUCCUAGAAUGGAAAGAGGGAGUUUCUAAGCCUAAGGGUCAGUUUGUUUCUUGUCUUAAACCUAGAAAAACGAUCUCUAAGGGUUUCAUAUAUCUUCUUGUUUGGGUUAGGGAUGCGGAUUCCAAAACCCCUACUUUUUAGUUGGUCCCUGUUGUAAAUGAAUUUCUGGAAGUGUUUCUCGAAAGGGAAAUAGACUUCAGUAUUGACCUUCUCCCAGAUAUGCAACCUAUCUUUAUUCCUCCUUACGGUAUGGCCCCGAUAAAACUUAAGGAAUUGAAAGAGCAAUUGAAAGAUUUGUUAGAUAAGGGUUUCAUACCACUGAGUAUCUCUCCAUGGGGUGCUCUCAUCGUGUUUUCUCAUAAGAAGGAUGGUUUUCUUCGUAUGUGUAUCGACUACCAACAAUUGAACAAAGUCACCAUCAGGAACAAGUACCCUCUUCUGAGGAUUGAUGAUUUAUCCAAUCAACUCCAAGGAUCAAGCUACUUAUCUAAGAUCGACCUUUGGUUGGGUUAUCACCAGUUGAGGGUGAAGGAGGAUGACAUCCCGAAGAUGGUGUUUUGGACUUGGUAUGGUCAUUACGAGUUCUUGGUUAUAUCGAUUGGGUUGAAUAACACUCCAGCCACAUUUAUGGACUUAAUGAAUGGGGUAUUUAAACAUUACCUUGAUAUUUGAGGAUUGUGUUGAAAGUCCUCAAGGAAUAACAACUCUUUGCAAAGAUUAGUAAAUGCAAGUUUGGUUAAGUUUUGUGGUGUUUCUUUGUCACAUUGUCUCCAACAAGGAUAUUGAGGUAGAUCCUAAGAAAACAAAUGCGGUUAAGAUUUAGUCUAGACCUCUAUUCCCUUCAGAUAUUCAAAGUUUCUUAGAUUUGGCGGGUUACUUUAAAAGGUUUAUGAAAUGAUUUUCUUCGAUUGCCUCUCCAUUGACGUUAUUAACUCAAAAGAAAGUCAAGUUCUUAUGGUCGGAAGCUUGUGAGAAGAGUUUUCAAGAAUUGAAAAAUAGACUUACCUUUGCUCCAGUGUUGACAUUACCAGAAGGUUCCAAUGGGUUUGUUGUUUAUUUUGAUACUUCAAGAAUUGGGCAAGAAUGUGUUCUUAUGCAAAAUUGGAAAUUCACUGCUUAUGCUUCAAGGCAACUAGAGAUUCAUGAAAAGAACUACCCUACCAAUUAGUUAGAGCUAGUGGCGGUUGUUUUUGCCUUACAGAUUUGGAGGCAUUAUUUGUAUGGUGUUCAUGUUGAUGUCUUCACCAACAACAAGAGUUUGCAAUAUGUGUUCAAGCAAAAUGAUCUAAUUCUUUGCCAACGUAGAUGGCUAGAUCUCUUGAAGGAUUACGACAUGAGUGUUCUCUAUCACCCUAGUAAGGCGAAUGUGGUGGCGGAUGCUCUUAGUCGAAUAUCAAUGGGUAGUGUUGCUCAUGUUGAGGAAUAUAAGAGAGAUUUGGUUUGUGAUGUUCAUAGAUUACCGAUUGGGUGUUCGGUUGGUUGAUUCUAAUUAGGGUGGUGUUAUGUCCAUAAUGGUUCAGAAUAGCCAUUUGUGUCGGAUGUGAAAGCUAAGCAAGGUCUUGAUCCAAUUUUGGUUGAAAAGAGAAAGGGCUACUUAGAAAAAUCGUUGAGGCUUUCUCCUAAGGGAGAGAAGGUAACUUACAUAUCAAGGUUGUUUUCCAAUGUUGAUGACUUAAGGGAGCGAAUCAUAUCGAAAUCACAUAGAUCUUGAUAUUCCAUUCACCAAGGAGCCACCAAUAUGUACCAUGACUUGCGGGAGGCUUAUUGGUGGAAUGGGAUGAAGAAGGAUAUUGCGGAAUUUGUGGCUAAGUGUUCUAAUUGUCAACAAGUGAAGGUUGAGAAUCAAAAGACAAGAGGCUUGUCCUAAGAUAUUAGUAUUCCUACUUUGAAGUGGGAGGUUUUGAAUAUUGAUUUUAUUGUUGGUUUACCCCGCACCCGCGAUAACAUGACUCGAUUUGGGUAAUUGUAGACCGUAUGACAAAGUAAGCUCAUUUCAUUCCUGUCAAAUUUUCUUACUUGGAAGAAGACUAUGCUAAGUUGUACCUAAGAAAAAUUGUUAGGUUUCAUGGAGUGCCCCUACCCGUUAUCUCUGAUCGUGGUACCCAAUUAACUACCCUAUUUUAGAAGUCUUUCCAAAAGGGCCUUGGUACUCGUACUAAACUUAGUAUGUCCUUUCAUCCUCAAACCAAUGGGCAAGAAUAGCGUACUAUCCAAAUUUUGGAAGAUAUGUUAAGAACUUGUGUGAUUGACUUUAAGGGUGAUUGGCAUGAUCAUUUGCCUUUGAUCGAUAUUGUGUAUAAUAAUAGCUAUCAUUCAAGCAUUGGUAUGGCUCCAUUUGAGGCUCUUUAUGGUAGUAAGUGUAGAUCUCAUAUAGGUUUGUUUGAAGUUGGUGAGGUUGCUUUGAUAGGUACUAAAUUGGUAGAGGAGACUAUGGACAAAGUUCAGCUUAUUAGAGAAAGGUUGAAAACGAUUCAAAGCCGAAAAAAGUCCUAUUCCGAUGUUAGAAGAAGAGAUCUUGAAUUUGAUGUAGAUGGUUGGGUCUAUCUGAAAAUUUCACCCAUGAAGGGUGUAAUGAGAUUUGGGAAGAAAGGGAAGCUUAGUCCCCGUUAUGUGGGCCCAUAUCAGAUUAUGAGGCAUAUUAGUAAAGUUGCUUAUGAACUUGAUUUGCCUAACGACUUAGCAUCGGUGCAUCUAAUUUUCCAUGUCUCCUUAUUAAAGAAGUGUGUUCGUGAUCUGACAUCCAUCUACCAUUGAGGAGUUGUGGAAUAAAGGAAAGCCUUUCUUGUGAAGAGUUUUCGGCUGAGAUUUUAGACCAACAAGUCAAAAAUUUGAGAAAUAAGAAAGUUGCAUCCAUGAAAGAGUUGUGGAAGAAUCAAAGGAUUGAAGGUGCUACUUGGGAGGUGAAGGCUGACAUGAUGUCCUGUUAUUCCUAUCUCAUUCCAUUCGAUCAUACUCUAGCUAGAGGUAUUUAGUUCCUCAUGGUUCAUCCUUCUUGGUCUCAUAUGUCUUAAUUGUUCUCAUGUUUCUUCAUGUAUGUAUACUCAUGAAAACUUAAUUUUCUUUUUGAGAAAGUGAGUUAACUUGAUUGAUUUCUCCAUGCAUGUAUGCCUUAUGAAAUAUUGUUUUGAUUAUGUUUGAUCUUGGAGUUGAUGUUCCUCCUUGAUACUGUGUGUUUUGAAUUAGUUGCAUUAAUGUUAGGCAGUUAAAUCUUUUACCUCACCCUCUUUAUGAUUUCUUGAGUUCCAUUCCAAGACGAAUGUUCUCAAAGGGAGUUAUCGUAACACCACGGAUUUGGAAAAUAAGGAUAAUAAUUUUUUGGGUUGCAAGAUGUGUCUAUGGUUCCCAUCUGUGGGCCGUAGAAGCUUCUACAGGCCGUCAAUGGAAACCAUAGGAAUGGGAAAUAAAAUUUGAAACUAAAUCUCAGUACCCUUUCAUGGUUCACUAGGACAGUCUGUCAUUCCUUGUACGAGUGGUAGAUAGGACUCGUAGGUGAGUCACAAACUUAGUGAAAUUUUAAGGGUCAAAGUAGGGUACUAUUGGUUUGUACAAACCGUAGGAAGACCUACGGCUGUAGAAACAUUCCGUCAAAAUGAUGGUGAAAUUAUGGUCCUAGUACUUAGUCUACGAUUGGCCACUAUGGACAGUAGAAAGUCCUACGGUCCAUAGGUCUGAACCAUAUGUUGAAGUCCGAUAGUUAUUUAAAGGUGCUUUUGGGUCUUCUCCUUAAUUGUUUUAAAUCAAAACUACAUUGUUUUGCCUUCUGCCCUAAGAUCACCCACUUUCAAAUCAUUUUCCUAAAUUCCCUAAAACUCACCGAAGUCUUCCUCUCAAAUUCUCUCAAGGCUAACGAAGAAGAAGAGCUAGGGUUCCAUCCAAGUUUUAAAUCUUCUAUUCUUCUUGAGAAACCUCUAGUCCCAAAUUGUGUGCCCCCGUAGGAUUUUCUUAAAUGACCUAGCUAGUGGAUCUAAUUUAGCAAAACAUGAUAUGUACGGAUUCUACCUUUGCAAGUGGUUUCCCCUUCUUUGAGUAUGAGGGAUAUACCAAAUUCCAUGAUAUAACCCUCAUGGUCUUAUUGUAGGUUAAAGCUAAAAAUCCCACGAAAAUGACUAUGUUUUCUUCAAAGCUUUUCUUAUGUCCUUUACUCCAAAUGCAUUGACUAUAUCCUAUAAUUUCCAUGUUUUAUUUCCUUAUGUUAAAAUGUCGAAUUAUUGAUCAUAUCUACAUGUUUGAAACCAUUUAUAAUAUCACGUUCAUGUUUAUUCAUACUACCCCACACUUAGUACAUUCUAUAUAUUAAUGCAUACUUGUAAUUGUGCCUACAUUAUCUCAUGAAUGUGGUGUUCGACGUUCCUACUCCGUACACUCAUGGUUAGAUAUCACCUGGGUUUUUAAGUUGAUUGGUGAGUCCUCAUGAUCCGAGGACCGAGACACUAUUUAGCUUUGUCUUUUCAUUUCAAACUUUAUAAGUGAUCUAUGGGUUAGUCUCAAUCUCUUUCCUUAUGAUGUAUUCGAUGGUUUUAAGACUUAUGUUAGACUUCUGCUUUGUCAAAUUUUUGAUAUAUUAAAUGCUUUCUUUCAAGUCUUUACUUUUAUUAUCUUGUAUGAUGUAUUAUAAGUGGAUUGUGUAGGGCCUCUUGGGAUCUUAAAUGUCAUGUUACACCUAUGGUGUACCCUGGGGUCGUGACAAGUCACUUGUUUUAAUGACAAUGUCAUCAAAUUAUACAACAAGAUGGAUAUUGCCAGUUCUUGCUUGCUGAUAGAAAAUUGAGUGAUCACAUUUGCUCAUUUUAAACCCAAAUUCACUACCUCACUAAACUUGCCAAACCAAGCCUGAGGACUCUAAUUCAAGCAAUACAAGGACUUUUUCAAAUGACGGACUUUCCCAUACUCCCUUUGAUAAAGAAAACCAGGUUGCUGCUCCAUUUAAAGUUCCUUUCCAAGAUCAACAUGAAGGAAAGUAUUCUUGAUAUCCAAUUGAUGUAAAGGCCAACUCUUUGAACCAGUUAGAGAAAUGAAUAAGUGAACUGAAAUGAGUAUAGCAACAGGAGAAAGAGUCUCUGAAUAAUCCACUCCAUAUGUAUGACCAUACCCUUUAGCCACAAGCAUGGCCUCAAGUCUUGCCAUAGAACCAUCCGGAUUAACUUUAACCAUGAAAACCCCACUUACAUCCCACUAUUUUUUUCCUGUUGGGUAAAUCCACCAAAUCCCAUGUGCAGUUUUCCUCUAAAGAAUGUAUUUCCUCAAGCAUUGCACUAGACCUCCAUUAUGAUUCCAAGCCUCCCUCACUAUUUUAGAUACAAACAAAGAAUCUAUAGAAACAAUCAAUGAUCUAGACAUCGAGGAUAAAUGGUCAUAGGAACAAACUUAGCAAUGGAAUAUGUAGAUUUACAAUCCAUGUACCUUUGGGAAGAGCAAUAGGUAGAUCAAGAUCUCAUUUUAUCUCCCUAUUUCUCUUCUCAAAGGUACACGGACUUGUAAAUCCACAUAUUUCAUUGCUAAUCUUGUUUCCUAUGACUAUUUAUCCUCGAUGUCUAGAUCUUGAUUAUCUCUCUAGAUUCUAUCUUUUAACAUAAAAUGGUGAGGGAGGCUUUGAAUUAUCCUAGAUGGUAUGUUGCGAUGCUUGAGGAAAUAUAUGUCUUAGAGGAAAACCGCAUAUAGGAUUUGGUGGCUUUACCCAACGGAAAGAAACCAGUGGAAUGUAAGUGGGUGUUAACUAUUAAAGUUAAUCUAUAUGGUUCUAUGGCAAGAAUUAAGGUUAGGCUUGUGUCUAAAGAUGCUCAGACAUAUGGAGUGGAUUAUUCCGACACCCUUUCUUUCGUUGCUAAACUUUUUCCAGUUUUCUUAAUCAUUUAUCUAGCUUCUUUAAAGAAUUGUCCUUCAUAUCAAUUGGAUAUCAAGAAUAAUUUCCUUCAUGGUGAUCUUCAAGAGGAAGUAUAUAUGGAUCACUUACCUUGUUUUCUUUCUCAAGGAGGGUAUGGGAAAGUCUGUCAUUGAAAGAAGUCUUUGUAUGGCUUGAAACAGAGUCCUUGGGGUUGGUUUGGCAAGUACAGUGAGGUAUUUCAAGAGUUUGGGUUGAAAAUGAGAAAAUGUGAUCACUUAGUUGGCAAUCAACAACUGGCCCUAUCCUUCUUAUUGUAUAUUUUGAUGAUAUUGUCAUCACAUGAAGUGAUUAUACGGGGAUCUCUUCCCUUAAGUCUUUCCAGCAUGCUAGGUUUUAUAAGAAAUACUUAGGUCAGUUAAGUUACUUUUUGGGAGUAGAAGUAUGUAACAACAAGAAGGGAUUUUUUCUAUCUUAGAGAAAGUAUAUUCUUGACCUACUUGCAGACACCGGAAAGUUGGCAGCCAAAUCUUGCAAUACUCUAAUGGUUCCCAAAGUGCAUCUUAUGAAAGAUUAUGGUGUUCUUUUUGAUGAUCCUGAGUAAUACAGAUCUAAUUGGGAAAUUAAUUAUUGUGACUCGUCUGGAUAUUACUUUUGUGGUAAGUGUUGUUAGCCAAUUCUUGUAUGUGCUUACGAUCAAGCAUUGGGAAGCCUUGACACAGAUUCUAUGUUACUUGAAAUGUGCCCUUGGACUUGGCAUAUUGUAUAGCAAUCACAAUCAUACCCGUAUUAAGUGUUCUGCAGAUGCGGAGUAUGUUGGAUAAAAAAUUGACAGGAGAUUGACUAUAGGGUAUUUCAUCUUUGUUUGAGUUGAUCAUUUUUGUAACAAUAGUUGGGUCAUGAUCAAUAUAUAUGCUCUAACUUUAGGGGGAAUGUUAUAGAAUAUGUAUAUAGACUUCAUUCCUAGUAAAGCACAUAGCCUUAUUUAUAUAGAAGAUUUAUAGGAAUUAGCAGAUUUGUAGGAAUUAUCUUUUAUUUCUUUCCUAAGAUUGAACACAAUCUAUUGUAUUUACACAUUGCUUACCCAUUGAAAUAAAUAAUCUUCUUCUAUAUGAUUACAAUAUUAAUUGUUUCAGACCUACUUAUAAGCUAAGAAAUGAACUGCAAUAAACAAACACAGUCAUAAUGCAAUAACAGGAAAGACAUCACAUUAUUCCAUAGAGUUCCAAGCAGCCAUGAAUGCAUACAGAGGGAGUUUUAAAAUGUGAAGUGACAGCUAUGAAGUUUCCAUUAACCUUAAACACAGAGAGGGUAAGAAUAAAAUUGUAACCAUACUUUAAUAUCUAUUUUUCCAGUUAAGAUAUAUGUGGUUAUGCUAGUCUUACAAAGUAUAAAGUAUAAAGUAUCAUAUUUGGAUGGUGCGCUGGCAUUUGGGGUGGCAUUGUGCACAACUUCUAAGGUGGUAGAGAACUUGUGAAAUUAAUUGUGUCAGUGCAAAAUUCCUGUUCAAGAGAUGAACGAUAAUAAGCAAAGGCAACCAUAUUGAAAUAACAUGAAAUGCAUAUAAUUAUAAAGACUAUCCAAUAAAAUUUCCAAGACUCCAGCUCUAUUGAGGCUUCCUAUGUAAAUUGAGGUAAACGAGAGAUGUUGAAACUAAUUAUUUGUAGAGUUAAUGGAAAGGGAAAAAUAUAUUGUUAGGGGUAUUUAGGGAGCGGCAAAGUGGAAAAUGUUUGGGGAGUGGGGAAAAUUACAGCAGUUGGUGUGUUUUUAAAAUCCUCAGGACGAAAAUACAUUGUAUGGGAAAGAGCUUAACAUUUCAAUAAAAGGAAAAGAAUGUCAUAUCAAAGUGGUGGGGCUCUAUUCUGUUGUAAAGAACAAACAAGGUGGUUCAAUAGGAAGAUGGUAGAAUUCGGGGUAGAGCAUAAUGAGAGACUUUGAUGGGACAACAAUAAAGCAAAGUUUGUGCAAGCAGGAAUGCAGGUUACCCGGAUGAUCCUUAGCGGGUGUGGCUGGUGCAUUGGAAGAAGUAGAAGCCUUCAUUGGUAAUCUGAGAAUUUGUUUGAUUGUAACACCUACUAAUUUAAUGAUGGGUUGAUGAAAAGAACUAAUCUGAGAAUUAGGGUUCUAGAAUUUGUUCCAUCAAAGGCUUUCAGAUUUAAUUCACUGUUCAAUUUAGGUCGUUGCUUUAGAUAGAUGGAGAAGAUGGCAACAUCAGUUGAAGGAGUUUGUCAUGAGGCAAGUGAUUUGAAAUCCUAGGGAUCAGAGCUCAGGAAAAUUGGAUCUAUAUGAAUUGAUCUUACUCAUCCAUUGCCAUCGAUAGAGAAUCGAGACUGCCAACAUUUUUCAAUACGGUUAGUCUCUUUUGUUAUCUUGUGUACAUUGAAUUAGUUUGUGCUUUUUUCUUUUUCCCUUUUUUCACUUAAUUAAGUCAUACAAAAUCAUUGCUAUGAUUGCUUAAUUAUACGCAUGAGUUAGUUCUCCUUUUGUUGUUUCACUUACACUAUUAAUUCCAAGAUGUGUAUGUAUUUAUGUAUUAAUUCCACUUUUUUUUAAUAAAGGAAGUGACUAGUUCUGAGAUAAUAACUAGUAGUUGAGUGACCAUCUGAAAUAUUAAUUCAUUAGAUCAGACAAGGAAAUAAUCCAAUAAACAGACAUGGAAAUAAUCCAAUACAUUUGUUGGUCAUUCUUCAUGAUACAGUUGAUAUAUUGCUGAGGUGAGAAAAAAGGACAUGAUUAUUUGUUCACCUUUUGGAUCACACAGUAAUCCCGGGAAGAAACUUCCUCAUCUAGAUGUUCCAAAACAAAAAUGGUGGUGGUGUGAUGCAAUUGCAUCCGUAAGUUUAUAGCUAAUGGAAGUGCAUUAGACGAAAUUGGUGAAGCAUUUGUGUAUACUGUCUCUACUAAUGCAGCUACUGAGGUAAUAGUAUCUAAGUAAUGCUCAACUGAUCAAGAAACAAAACCAAACAGCUUAGGUAAUUUAUAGCAUACGUCAAUACAGUCUUCAGAUUUUGUACUUGUUCAUAUAUUGCAGGUAGAAUUGACAAUGUUUCUUUUGGUUUUAAAAAACAGAUGCUAAUUUGUUGAACAUCAGAACAAAUAGUAAGGAAAAUACUCUAAAAAUGUACAAUGAAUUGCUUCAAAUACUUCAUAUCAAAUAAAAGUGCUUGGUAGUAAACAAAAGGUUAUUAAUCUGACCAAUGUAAAUGUUCGUGGAUUACCUUCUCUUGGAUCGACAAAGAGAUUGAUCAAACAUCGAAGGGAGAAGAUAAUCUGAAUUUGGCAGAAAAUAGAUGAUGUGAUUUGCAUGAGGAUAUUGCAAUGAUCUAAAGCUUCAGAGAACUCCAAGGUUGCGCUUGAUGAGUGACUUUCUGAGUGGAAAAGUCAAUUUGAAGAGGAGUUGUGCGAAAGUAGAAUAUUUUUUCGUGAAUAUCAUGCCCAUGGAGCCCAAUACAGUUGGUUUUGAACCCAAGGAUGAGGAUAUCAAGAUCUCCUAAAAGAAGAGGAAUAUGUCUCAAUGAGGUGGUUGCAGGUCAAGGAUGAAUAACUUAGAUGGUAAGAUGUCUAAAGGAUUGAAGGUGUAUAAUCAAAAUCAAAAAGCUAUGACAAGCUCUAUGGAAAUUGGAGUUACUAAUUCACAUCCAAGAUAGAAUGUAUUUAACAGAGAACAAUGUCAUCUAUAGAAUGAUAGCAAAAGUGUUAAGAUUAAGAAUACAAGAGACCUUGGAGUAAGUAGAAAGAAACAUAAGCAGCAAGUUGAAGUUGUCAGUGGAUAUUCUCUUCAAAUCCCCUUGAAAGGAAGAAAAACAGUAGUCUUGGCACUAAUUGAUUUGGUGCUAAUAUUCUAUUUCAAUCAUCAUAUGUUGCUAUAAGUACAAUAAAAGUUGAACAUCAUUUGAGGAAUAACAAUGAAUCAUCGCAUGGAAUAUAAAGGGACUCUGAUUGGAGCAAGCUUCUCAAAGAUAGACAUGUCUCUUCUCAUAUGAUCAAUGUGGUUGCAGACAAGACUUUACAAAGAGAAAUUUUAUCAAAAGGGAUAGAUGUUGUACAAAUGCCGAUUGGUAUGGGAAUGGUGAAUUUUCAGCCAAUGAAGAAGAUAUCUUCUAAAGAGAAGUUAGACAAAACUUUAAGCACCUUUAAGGGUGCUUAGAAACAUGUUGAAAAUGACAAUCCAAAGCAAGAGCAUGCCAAAUCGGCCAUUGAUGCUACAGAAGGGAAAUAAUAAUGGUAAUGUCUUAAGUCAAAUGUGGUUGAAUUGGAUCACUUUAAGAAAACGAGUGAAUCCUAUUAAAUACAGUCAAUUGUUCCUGAGUCAGGUCGCUUUUUAGGAUGGUUCACUCUUUGUAGGAAAGAGUGAACUAACUCAGGCAUAAUUGUCUGACGUAUAAUAGGGUUCAUUCCUUUUCUUUAAUAUUGGAAUGAUUCAACCACAUUUGACCUAAGAGGAUCACCACUAUUAUUGCUCUUCUAUAGAGUUAAUGACCAAUUAAUUGGUAUGCUCUUGCUUGGAGUGUGUCAUUUCCUACAUGUUUCUAAGCACCCCUAAAGUUGCUUAAAGCUUGGUCUAACUUCUGCUUAAAAGAAAUCUUUUUCUCUGGCUGAGAAGUCACCAUUCCCAUACCAUUCGACAUUUGUACAACAUCUAUCCCUUUUGAUAAACUCUCUUUGUAAAUUCUUUUUUGCAACCACAUUCAUAUGAUAAGAUGCAUGUCUAUCUCCGACCAACUUCCUCAAAUUAGAGUCCCUUUCUUUUCCAUGCGAUGAUCAAUUGUUAUUCCUCAAAUGACGUUCAACUUUUAUGGUACUUAUGGAAACAUGUGAUGAUUGAAACAGAAUAUUAGCAUCGAAUCCUUUAGUUCCAAUACUGCUCUGUUUCCCUUCCAAUGUACGAAGAGAACAUCACCAACAACUUGAGUUUGUUGCUUAUGUUUCUUUCUACUUACUCUAGAGUCCUUAUCACCUGUAUUCUUAAUCUUCACACUUUUGCCACCACUCUGUAGAUGACUAUUGUUCUCUAUCAAAGACAUUCUCUCUUGGACGCAAAUCAGUAACUUCAAUUCCAUGGAACUUCUUAUAGCUUUUUGAUUUUGACUAAACACCUUCGAUCCUUUAGGCAUCUUACUAUCUAUGUUAUUCAUCUCUAACCUACAAUCGUCUUCUUGAGACAUAUUUUAUUUUGAAAAAUAUUGAUAUCCUCAUCAUUAGGUGCAACACCAACUGUAUCUGGCUCAACAAGCAUGGUGUCCACUAAAAAAAUUUCUACAUUCGCUCUACUCCUCUUCAAAUUAACUUUUCCACUUAGAAAGUUACUCAUAAAGCGCAACUUUGGAGUUCUCUAAUGCUUUAGAUUUUUUGCAAUAUCCUCAUGCAAAUCACAUCGACUAUAUUUUGCCUAAUUUACGUCAUCUCCCUUAGAUGUUUCAUAAGUGAUUUUACUCAAUCCAAGAGUAUGUAAUCCAUGAACCUUCACAUUGCUCACAUUAACAUUAUUUUCUUUGCUAGCAAGCCCGAUGACUCUUUCAAUUUUGAGAGCCUUUUCAUUUCUCUGAAUUAAUUUCGCUUUUUCUAUUCUAUGAAUUAUUUCACUAUCACUACUGUCUACACAUCGUCUUUCAUGAGGAACUAAUUUUCCAUUUCCAUCAUUUAAAGGAAUUGUCUCAGUAUUUGUUCUGAAGUUCAACAUCUAACAACUAUUUCUAAAAGCAAAAGCAACAUAUCAAUUUUGCCUGCAAUAUAUAAACAAGUGCAAAAUAUAAAGAUUGUCUUGAAUGAUCUAAAUUUCCUGGGGUGUUUGUUUUUAUUCCUUGAGUUGAGCAUUACUUAGAUAAUAUCACCUCGGUAGUUGCAUUAGUAGAGCGAGUGCACACAGACGCUUCACCAAUUUGUCUCUUUCUCUUUCAUCAAUUAUAACCUUAUGAAUGCAAUUGUCACACCACCAUCAUUGAUAUUUUGGAAUAUCUAGAUGAGGAAGUUACUCCUCGGAGUUACUGCCUUAUCCAAAAGGUGAACAAAUAAUCAUAUCCUUCUUUGUAAUUUCAAAAAUAUCUCAAUUGUUUCACAAAUAAAAGACCAACAAAUAUAUUGGAUUAUUUCCUUGUCUAAUCCAAUGGAGGGGUUAAUUCCUCAAGUGGUCACUCAACUACUAGUUAUUAGCUCAGAAUUAAUCACUUGCUUUAUUGAAAAAUGAAAUCAUUAAGAAAGAUGACUAUGUUGGAUGUAUUUGGUGAUAGGCACUAUGAGUUUCUCAUAACUUGACUUUUAUUAUAUCAAAGUAAGGACAUGCUUCGGUCUUAGAAUCUUGAUCACUCACUUGUUACUUGUUUCAACAACAUUCUAUACUAGAACACUCACUCUUGUUUGCUAUCUUGAUUACUUUCUUUCUUGAUUUCUUACUUAGUUACAUAUCAAAUGGACUACCUCUAUUUAUAGGAGGUGAUGGAAGAAUCUAGAGAGAUAAAUACUACUUACUCUCUCCUAGAAUUUUAUUAGAUAUCUUUUUCUAGAACAUUUAUAGACUUUCUUAUCUAGAAUACUCAUUCUAGAGAUCAUUCUUCAAUUCUCUACAACUCUGAAAGAUUCUAGAUUUUUCUUAACUCAUCUUAAAUAAAUAAUUAAUUUUUGAUGAAUUCUUAAUACUCCCUCUCAACACCAACUUAAUGUUAUCUUUGCUUUCGUUGUGAGCUAUUCCUAAAACUCUGCAACCAUCAUGACAUUCAUGCCCUUUGAGAAUCUUCAUCUUUGUUGGAUUAUUCUGAUCCCUACUCUUUGAAGCUUAUUCAAAGGCAGUAGGCUCUUUAAUAUUGACCACGUUUGCUAAUGUUGCAUCAAUAUAUUUGGCGUUUGAGCAUUUCACUCGUGCCAUCCUUUUUAGUUAAGGUUGCAAAGAUUCUUGGAGUCUUUCUUGCAACUAUUCUAGAGUUUCAUGUACUCUAGUUUUCCAUGGACUCAUAUUUUCACAUUUUGAAGAUAUCUUCUCUGUAUGUGAAUUAUAUUAUUCACAUAUCUCUAGUUCUAGUUCUGCCUCACCUCCUUGUCCUUCUUCUUCAAGUUUAUGUUGUAGCUUUUGCUCCAAUUCAUUGUUAAUCUGGCGGGGAAACUUCUUUGAACUACCAUGUUGGUGCUUUAUCAACUACCGCAUAAGUCGUUAUGGAUGGCAUAACAUAGAUUAACUUUCAGUCUAAAAACUUGAGAUAGUUGCUUGUGAGAAACUAUCUGAACAUAGAUUGCACUGGCAAAGAAGAGGAGGACCUUAUUACCUUGUCACUGUAACAAAGAAGAGGAGAUUGCACUUGCAACUUUAAGUGAGAAACUAGUCGGUUAUGAAAAUGAAUAGUGAUGAGAUAAAGUUGAUCAACAUGAGCGAGUACAAAGGUGGUCAAGUAGUGGUGACCGCAAAUAAUUCAAAAAGGCCAAUAACUCGUAUUAGCAAAACGAUGUUUGUGUCACAUCAGAGCUCAACACAAGCGGAACUUCAAAAUAUCUACCAUGUUCUAGGUAUAAAAAGAACUUACUUUUGUGUCAUAAAACUUAUUAUAUGUGUCACAAUUAAUAGCUUAGGAAACUACGUUGUGUUCAGAUAGGAUGACUUAAAGGUAUAUCAAAGCUUAAAAGUAACAAGUCCGCUAAAGAUUUAUGAGAAACUAUCGCUAACAUAGAUAACAUGUCACUCUAACAACUUGAGAUAGUUGCUUGUGUUCAGAUAGUUGCUUGUGUUGAGAUUCUCAACGCUAUUGAAAGUGCUUGUAGCGUCCAAUAGUAGCUUGUAGGAUCUCCUUUCCUUUGAGUUUCUACCUUUCUUUAUCCAUCAGACUCUCUGGUACCACUUGUUGUUUAUUUUUGGUUAAAGGACACAAUUUAUUGCUCACAACUUAUAUUUUAUUAUUGUAAAGUAAGGAUUCACUUCGGUCCUACAAUUGUUACGCACAAUAUUUCUUGCAAUCACACUCUAUCAGCUCUCUCUUAUUUCUCACGCACUUGUUGUUUGCUAUCAUGCUUACAUGCUUUGAGAACUUACUUUCUUACUUGGUUACCAAUAAAUAUGGACCACCUCUAUUUAUAGGAGGUGAUGGAAGAAUCUAAAGAGAGAUACAUACUACUCUCUUCUAGAAUAUUCCUAGCUAUCUUUUUCUAGAAUUACCUUUUCUAUAAUAUUUCUAGACUUCUCUCUCUAGAAUACUCAUUCUAGAGAUCUUCCUUCAAUUCUCUACAACUCCGGAAUAUUCUACAUUUUUCUAGACUCGUCUUAAAUAAAUAAUUAAGUUGGUGAUGAAUUCUUACAGACUAGAUAAAAUAAUAACUAUUAGUGUAGUUGAGUGAUCGACUAAGAAAUCAACCCACUAAUAGAGGAAAGCAAAUUGAAUCCUUUCACAGAAGCCCCUUAUAUUUUUAUCUAGAUAUGAAUAGUACUGUGGGGAAAAAAAGGGAACUUGCUCACGAGUAUCAUGAAGAGAGAACUAAAGCUAGCUUCAAUACACAAGCCUAAGUAAACUUCCAAAUCUAAUGAAUUUGAAAACAGAUUAUGCAAAUGCAAGAGGAGGAAUAUGCAAUGAUUAGUUAAUUCACAAUAAUUAUAAGAUCACCCAAAGAUAGUCAAUACAUACAUACACAUCUUGGAUAGUCAAUACAUACAUACAUACACAACUUGGAAUUAAUAAUAUAAGUGAAACAACAAAUGGAGAACUCACUCAUGCAUAUAAUUAAGUGAUAAGAUUGAUUUUAAAUGAAUUAAUACUUGGAAAUACUAAUUGAGUGUACACAAGAUAACAAAAGAGACUAAACAUAUCAAAAAAAUGAUGGCAGUUCUCAUUCUGUAUCAAUGACAAUGGAAGAUUAAUAUAAAUAAAUAUACAAUUACCUUGAGCUCUGAUCCUGAGGAUUUUGAAUCACUUGCCUCGUGACAAGCUCCUUCAACUAUGAUUGUCAUCUUGUCCAUCUAUUUAAACGACAACCUAAAUUGAAAUUUCAAUAAGAAAUUUGGAGAUAUUGUCACAUGUAUUUUCAAGAUAAAAAUUAAUUGGUAUACCUACUCAAAUAAAUAUUAUUUGUAUCAAAUCUUGAACAUAUCAUCAAAGAUAUAAAUAAAUUUAGUUUGUAUGCACUUAUUAAUUCAAAGUUAUUUGAUACAAAAUCUAAUAUAUUUGAUGCAAUAGCAAUUACAUGAUUAACACACACUAAUAUAUACACUCCAUUUUAGUGAGUUAAGUUUGAAAGCCUUUAAUGGAAUAAAAUUUAGAACCCUAACUCUCAAAUUUGUUCUUUUCAUCAACCCUUGCCUUAAAUCAACAAGUGUUACAAUCAAAUAAAUGCUUGAACAAGCUCAAUGAGCCGACCAUAUAACAUAUAACAAUUGAUUUGAAGCUAUUUAGGGUUUUCUAAGCGAAUUCACUUGAAUUGGCAAGGUAUAAAAGCUAAAGCUUAAAAAAAUUCCAAAAUUCACUUAAAAUCGUGAUAAUGCAAUCAAGGUUGCCAAAUUCAUAUUAGAUAUAAAUACAAGUCAUUCAAAACAAUUCAAAAGCCAAAUUAUGAUUUUUUACGGCACCUAUGAUUUUGAUACACCCAAAAAAUAAACUUCAUAGAUAAUAAAAACAAAGAUAUAACCAUAAUCAUAGUAAAACUAUAAGUAAAACAAAACCCAAAAAAGUACAAAAAAAAUAAAAAAAAAAUAAACAACAACGAAAAAAAAGAGAAACACAAAAUUAAUAAAUGACAUCACAAAAAGCGUUACCUUUCAAGAGAAAUCAUAAAUACAAUCACUAAUAAAGAAACCAACAAAAAUGAAAAGGAAUUAAAUUUUAAAAAAUCAUAAAUAAAGAGAAAAGAUAUAUUUUUCACCUGAAUUGAGAUCUCAAAUUAGAUGAAGAACAAACUUGAUCCAAGGCUAAAGCACCCAGAUAAGGAGGCAAAGAUGAUGAUUCAUCCAAGGCGGGAGCAUUUCAGGUUAUCAGGUGAAAGGAAAGGGGAGCUAAGUGGAGUGGCGGAUGAGGAAACCCUAAUCUAAAGGGACAUGUAUAUAGGGAUAAAGUUGACGGCCUAUCGGGGAUGGGCUGGCCUUUUACUUUGGUUUUUUUUAUUGGAUUUGUGUAAAAGGCCUAAAUUUGAGAUGUACUGAUUUCCUAAUUUAUUAAAAAGAAACUACUUUCACCCAAAAAAAAAAUAGAUCUCAAGAUUAGAACAACACCCACUUUUCAACAUAAAAUGAAGAACUAAAAACAUCCAGAUUAAUUCGAAUGGAAUUCAAGGUUGAAAUAAAUAGAAAACCCUAUGAUUUAUAGAGAGAGUGAGUGAAACACUCAGACAAAUGCUAGAGAAAGUAUGACAUGUGAGAAAAGAUUUUUUAAGACAACAUUUUUCCUACAAAAUAGAGAGUCCUAAAUGUGAUUAAAAAGUUAUUUUAAGUAUUAAAUAAUUAAUGUAAUCAUUUUUUUAUUUUUUUUUGCAAUAAAAAGGUGUAAAUAGAUAAUCAUCAGUGAAAAUGUGAAGAAAAUAAUAAUUAAAAGCUGGUUUUCUUUAAAAAGAUGUAAAUAUUUAAAACUUUAUUAACUAUUACCUACCUUAACUAUUUUGUCGUAAAACUAGCACAUGUUGUCAUGUCUCGAGCAUACACCGUGGGGUGGCCAGCAUUCAGAAUCAUUCUUUGGCCUGACUUACUACUAUACUAAAUAUUAUGACACUAUGCUAAAGUUUUUAAAAGAUAAGCAUGCAAUAUGUUUAGAAAACAAACUCAAAAACUUUAUAGAUGAAAUCUUAAUAAUAAAUAUAUUUGUAAACCAACUGAACUAUGACUCAACUGACUCAUCUAUGAAGCCUUUGACAUGCUAAAGAUAGGUUGUCGGGACAAGACCUCCGGCUACCUGAAUACUAUACUAAUAACAUAUGCUAACUACUACUGCUCAAGAUAAACUGGAUCCAUCCGAAGGCAAGGAUGUCUCACCAAUGCUUGAUGAAAGUGAUCCUACUAAUGUGUCUGAUGACUAUCCUGAAUACCUGAAUCUACAUUAUAAAAUAAUGCAACACUGAAUGAUGUAUGUACAUGGAACGUACGGUAUGUGAAAUCGACGAAUGAAAUAACUAGUUAAAUCUGAGCAUACCGAGCUAACUGUAGAACCUCAUAGACUAAAACAGAAAUUAACUACAUAAUAAAACAUAUAUGUGUACUUUAUCAACAAAUCUGACUCGUGGUUGCCGGGCGAUUUUGGGACUCUCUGAAGUUUUCCAUGUGUGAUAGUAUGGGUCGUACUAUCAAAGUACGAGUCAUACUCUAACUCGUAGUGCUUUGGAAUGAAAUUUUUAGAUUGAAGUGUCUCUAGUAAAACGAUCAUAACUUUAAUUUUUACUCAAGAACUGGAUUCAAGAAUGGUUAUGGAGUUUGAAAGAUGACUCAAAGACAUUUAAUUUAAUAAGUAGAGGGACAUAAACUCUUCAUAUUCAAAGAAAUAUGAUCAUUUGAAGUUUACUCUUGCAUUGUCUUAUGCAAAAGCUUAAUCGGUAGAGAAUAUUUGAGCUCAACUUUGUGCUAGAGGUUCCUUCUGACUCUUGUAUGCACCUAAAGUUUCGUUCCUAAAAUACAGCAAAUAGGAAAAGAAAAUAGCAGGAAAACAAUAGUAUUUCUAUUUGAAUUUGUGCGAUGUUACAAUCUUUAUGAAGUCUUUUAGAAAAGAGAUGUAAUCCCCUGAUUCUUAACUUUACAAUUGUUCUUGACUCGAUGAAAUACUUGUGGCUCAACACUUGGAGCGAAGACUUCUUUGUAUGCGGAAGACUUGCAUAUCACCGCUUAAGAGCAAGGAUUCUCUAUGUAGUUUCGUGUCCUUCUGGUCUUAUUUGAAGACCCCUUUAUAUAGACAUGAGCUAGUGUUUUAGGGGUAUUUUGGUCCAAGUAAUUUAGAGGACCUUGGGCUUGAAGAAUGUGAGUUGGGUUCGUCUUGUAAACUUAAUGGAGUGACCCAAAUAUAAUAUUUGAACUUUAUUCGAGUCAUAUCAUUUUGACUUAAAACAUUAAUCCAAAUUUAUUAACCAAUAAUUUGACUUGGUCAACGUAUCAAAAUUUAUGAUUUAAUCCAAAUUUAAUAUGGAUUUAUCAAUAAAACUUCGUUGUCUACACCCUUAAUUCAUAUUAUACACAUCUCAAAAUUAGGAAUUGAUCUUAACUUAGAAAUUUUCAAAGUAUUACACAUGCAUGUCUUGAUAAAAGAUAUGUAUCAUAGAAAAUAUUAUAUGCUGAGAAUAAUAAAGGAAAAGAUUCUCUUCAUUCAAUUAGAUUUUGUUUACCAAGUAAUUCAGAAGCCUUUUUUUAAAAUCUAAUCAAUUCCCAAUUUACUGCCAUAACUAAUCAGUUCAACAAAAUAUUUAAUAAAAACCUAUGAUACAGUUUAAAAUAUUUUCCACAAACACAUGAUCUCCAUGAGGCAUACAUAAAGAGAUGUAUCAAACGAAUAUUUUAUUGAAGGAAAUUGGAUCAGGUCAUCCAUGUGGAUCAACUAAACGAGCUUCACCUCCAACUAUUGCUCCUCUCUCUCUGCCCAAACUCAAGAAACAUAAAAUCAUAUCAAAAUAAACAUUUCGACGUGUUAUCUAACCUGAAAAAAAUGAAUCACGAUCACCAUUGAGAUUUUUUCAUUUAUGCUGCUCUCUAUUGACAAAUCCUUUAUGGAUGCAAGUUUAGUCAAAACAUUUGUGAUAGCACUUUGCAUUAUCCGGAAAUGAUAUAGGAAGAGAAAUGAUAAAGUCUACUUUUUUGUAAUAAGGAAACCACAAACAUACCCUAAGUGACAUGUUGUUCUUUUAUCAUUAUUAUCUACCAAAGAUUUAAUACAAAUAGUAGAAGGAGUAGAACAGUAGAAUGUUCUAUCAUACAAACAUCCUUAAACAUAUGUAUUAAAAUCAAUGAAAACCCUUUUAGUGGCGAUAUUCUGAAAAUUUGUGGCGACAAUGUUGUCGCCGCUAAAGGUCCAGUCCUACUUGCCCACAAUUAGGUGGAGGGCUUAGUCUCAUGUGGCUUGCCACGUCACUAAAAAUUUGGGUUGUUAACUCUUGAGGGUAUUUGUGGUCUCUUGGGAUAACAGUGGGGGCACUUUUAUCCCAAAAUGUAAUAGAGGGUAUAAGUAGUCUAUUUCACAUAGUUCACAGGAAAUUUUAACCCUUUUCUGUACAUUUUAUUAAUGAAUUUCAUCUAAAAAUAUAAAACAUUGAUAAUAUCUGAAUUGCCCAAAUGGGAGAUAAGUGUUACUCAAAUUGCUUAUGGGUUUUGCUUUAGGGAAGUCUCUGGAGAGUAUAAAGUAUUGAGAUUAGUUGAUAGAAAGGUUCAGGAUGAUACUAGAGCUUCAGAAUUGGAGGUUUAUACUCUUGGAGUUUAUGAGAAAUGGAGAAAUGCGGAUGAAAUUCCAUGUUCUGUAUGGUAUGAUUUUGGCAAGGCUAACGCCAAUGGUGCUCUUCAUUGGAUGGAGAGCGAAAAAACUAACUGCAUUUACUCCUUCGAUGUUGAGACAGAAAAGAUCAAGUCCCUGCCUGCUCCACCUGGUUUGGAAACUCCAUCCUCGAACUUGAGGCUAGCAAAGUUGGGGAACUGUUUGUGUUUGACUGAUAAUAUCCACAGAUGGAAUGUUAAUAUUAAUAUAUGGUGGAUGAAAGAGUAUGGCAUUGCAAAUUCUUGGACUAAAACUAGCAUUUUGGUGGAAUCUAUUCCGCGUGGUAUGGUUAACUAUAGUUUUGAACCGAUAUUUAUUUGGAAAGAUGGAGAAAUCUUGUUUCAAAGUCGCUCAAAACUAGCUUGGUACAACCCAGAAAUGAAGACGUUCAGGGUGGUUAAUGUUGACGGUGAUGUCAUUACAUCAACUAAAUACACUCCAAGCUUUUAUUCGCUCAAGACUAUCAUGGGGGACGACUUUCAAGUCACAAAUGUUUAUCCGAAGACUGCGAUAGUUUAGAGUAGUUGUUUUUAUCUUAUUUCCAUCGGAAUAUGAUGUUUUGCUUUUGUACUUCUGAUAUAAACUUUUACUCUUUUGUGGAUGUUUUUGAAUUCUCGAUAGAGAAAUAUUAAUAAGUAAUUACUAUUUUGUAUUAUGAAUAUUUGAUGAAAUUGAUGGUUUUUGGAAACAGAUGGUGUAAGGUUUUCUUUUAUGUUGUUAAUACUAAGGUAACUAGUAUACAUACCCGAGUGAUGCGCGAAUAAUAUUUAAAGUAAUCAUUUCACAUUGUGGUCUGAUUUGUCAGAGCACACUCAAUUAUAUUGCAUUAACUAAAAUUUAUCUGCCAUCUUAUUUCUAAUUACAAUUUAUAUACCCAAUAACACUUUGGAAUGAAUGUUACUCAUGUCUAAGUGAGUGUGUUUGCACAGGCAAAUGAAACAUUUAUUGAACCUGAGCUCCAUCAAAAAAAAAUUAGACUCUUCAAUAUUCUUUAUAAUUGGUAAUAAGAACUCUUAAUUGAUUUUCUAAGUUAGUUAUUUUUUGCGUAAAAAAUAUAUACAUCAUAUGUGUAGAACUUAAACACUUUUUCCUAUUAGUUUCUAGUGAACGGACACAACUACAGCAUUUUUGUUAUAAAGGUUCUGGGGAAAUUUAUACAUCAUCACUCAAAGAAUCAACCUUUAAAUACAAACAGAGUUAUAACUAAGGAAAAGAGAUCCAAAAUAAUCUCAGAAAUUCCUACAAAUUUGAUGUAAUAUUAUAUACAAAGACACUACAUAUUAUGUAACACUCUCCUCAAAUCGAACAUUGAUGUUAAUUAUAUCCAACUUUAUAUAAACAUAUUUCCCUCAUGCUUCAUUUUCAACUUUCAUAAAUAUAUACCAAAUUACUCUCUUGCCUUAUUCUUCGUCGGAUGAACCCCUUGACAUACUGCUAACUUCGCCCACUGGUUAGUCCUUACUUAGCAAUAAUAAAAUUAAAGUUGUAAGCAAACAGUUGUGUCCAACAUCUCAAUAGAUACUUCUUUUGAUCCAGGCCACCACUCUUACUGGUUGGUCAUAACUAGCACCCCUCUUUGUUCUAGUCUACCACUAUUGGCAUCCUACCAAGAUAUUACUUUGAGUCAUGGCUUCAAGCGUUAAUAAAUCUACUCUAAUACAAUUUUUUAUUGACCAGAUAAUACACUCCCUCUCUAUGAAUUCUGCCAUUAAUGCUUGGCAGGUGCUCCAAAGCUUUGAGAUUGAACACCGAUCACUGAACUUGAUAUGGUAUCAAUGCCACUAUCGGUACUUAGAGUUUUUAAGUCUAGUUACCUCUAAUUUAGGUACCUUUGUAGCUAUUAUUAGAUAUUUUUUGCAUUUUCUCAAUUCGCAGAAAUUACGUGUUACUUUGCUUACUUCCACUGAUUUUACAAUGGCAAUUUCCCUUAUGCAUCUUUGCCCUCUUCUAAUUCCGUCCACAGUUGUUAAUGAGAGUGAUCAUCUAUACAUCCAUCCCUCAGAUAGCCUGGGUUAAUGCUUGUUCAGUUUCCUUUUGAUGGAAUGGGAUAUCGAUCCUGGAGAAGAAGCUCAUGUGAUCCUUCUCCGUGAAGAACACUUAAGGAGGUCAUAAUACAAGAGACUAUGUCUUAAUCUUCAGAAGAGGUUUAAUACAUGUCAUUGAGGAAAGUUGUUGGUGAGCUUGUUUGGGUGGACAUACUUUUGCCAGAAUUGGAUGUUCCUUUUUCUAAACCUAUUGCGGUACAUUUUGAUAGUCAAAUAUAUCCUACACAUUGAUUUUUUCAUGAGAAAACCAAACAUAUAGAAGUUGACAGUAAUUUAGUUCGAAAUAAGCUCAUGUGAUCUUAUUUCUGUAACACCCCGUAUCUGAAACAGACCAAAAUGUAGAUUUUGAGAAGUUGCAUGUGCAACCCACGGUUGCCACCUAAACUUGUUUUAAGACUUGAGUGAAUGAGUAAGAUAAUGAGGAGAGUUGAGUUUCAUGUUUCAAAAUGAGUAUAAGAGAACUAAGUAUUCCCAACUGUAAACUCUUUUACAUUUAAAACGAGAGGAAACUUUAAUUUCUAAACAAGUUCAUGAAGAGUUUUUGAGUAGUAUCUCUUUUAAGAAAAUCUUUUGAGUAAUUAUCUCAAGUCCAGGAUGAGUUAUGUUUUUAUACAUUUGAGCAUGAGUUCUACAUAUUAUUGGGAGUAGUAUUGAGCACCGAUAUGGGGAUGAGUUCAGACAACUCAAAAUCCUCAUAAACCAUAUAUGCUAACAUGGGUAAAAGAUCGUACUUUCCAGAUGAUUCCUUAUUGCUUUUAAGCAUAGCUUAGUGGAUCCACUUAGUUGAGGAUCUUCUAUACCUCAGCAAGGUAUAGGACACUUUUGACAGUGUGGACGUGAUAUUGUAUCAUCACGUAGAUCAUAGUGAUGGUUGUCGGUUAGAGAAUCUCCCAAAUAAGAGUAAGUAGUUUAUUAUUAUAUUUUUAUAUACAUUUGAGUUAUUAUCUACUCUUUUAAAAGCUUUAUAUAUUGCAUCUUUUAUUGUUUCUUUCAUAUUGAGUUGAGGUGAAUAUGUUUUCCCUUUUUAUCAGUUCAACUAUAUAUCCCUAUGUUCAGUUUUCCUCUUGCAUGCUCGUACAUUCAAGUGUUCGAUAUCAUCAACCGGAUCUUCGUUGAUCCCAUCGCAUUACAGCUAGCUUGGUGAGCCUCCUUACUUUGGGAGGGCUCCACCAUUAGAUUCUAGUUGUGUUAGGAUGUUAUGGGUAAUGUCCCUACUCCCAUCAUAGUAUUUAGAGGCUUCAUAGAAUAUAGUAGUUAAGGGGUCUUUUCCCAUUUUCCUUGUGGGUUGCACACCUAUGUUCAUUUGAGUAUUUCAGAUAGUUUUGAGUUAAACCAUUUUAUUAAUGAGACAUUAUGAGUUGAGUUUUGCAUUUGAGUUCCUAAAUAGUUGAGUAAGUCUUCCACUGAGUAUUGAGCCAAUCCAAGGGUUCACUUGAGGACCAGCGAUGGUUCUUGGGUGCCGGUCACGUCCAAGGUGUAGGCUCGGGGCUUGAAAAAGAGGUACUAAACUUUUAUAAAAAUUAUUGGCAGAGGUUAUAAACUCCAUGAAAUUAUUUCCUGAAAUAGAUAAUGGGGGUUAAAACAAUCGUUAUUUGGCUGCCGCAAAUUGUUGUUGAGAUAGCUUAAAAACUGCCACAAAUUAAUUGUGGCACACAUAACAACAGGAGUCCUUGAAACCCCUAUAACAGUAACUAGCAGGGUUUUAAACCCCAACAAUUUGGAACUUUAACCCCCCAUAGUUUGACCCCUUUUUGUAGUGAUAUCUAAAUAUUUUAAAGCGUAAAACUUAAAAAAUUUACCUUUGAAUGUGCACAACAGCAAAACUUAUAAUGACUGGAAUUCCUUAGAGUCCUGGAUGUUUUUAGUUGAUAAUACUCUUUGCAUUUACAUACAUCUUGUUCAAUUGAAUGUACAUACAUUACAAAUUGUUGAGACAUGACUAUCAAAUUUUAAAGACCAAAAUACAAUAUUAUAAGUAGAAGAAGAUAAAAUAUGAAUGAGAAAAUGUGAAGUGAAUAACCUCAUAUUUAUUGUUGAAGAAGAGAUGUAGUUUUACAUGAAAAUUUAACUAAUAAAAGAAAUUGUAGUACACCCGUUUAUGAGUGAAAUGUCUUAAAUUAUUUGUGAUGUAUUUUGGGGUGAACAUACGGAGUUAACAUUCGUUUGGUAUAGUUUGUCUAUUUGAGGGCGAACUGUCCGUUUUGAUCUGUGAUUUUAGGGAGGAUCCAUUUAAUAUGUUGUGUUAAUGUAAAUAACUCUAAUUAAUGUUAUGAGAGAGAGAGAGAGAGCGAGAGAGAGAGAAAAUAAAGUAAGAAUAUAACUUCUCACUCUCUUAAGGAAGGUGUAUUUCACUAUUUCUGUCACAUCAACAUAUAUAUGGGCAUCUAUUCCACUUUAAAAUAAUAUAAGGGGUUCAUACGAUCCUCCCAAAAUUAGUGUGUAUAACAAUAAUUUUGAUUGAUGUUUGAGUGGUUUUUAAUCGUUUCCCAAAUUUAUUUGAUUUUAAGAUUUUAGAUAUUAAACUAAUUGUAAAUGAAAAGGUUAAUAAUAUAUAUUCCUCAUCUUCUAUUUUAUAAUUAUUCAGAAAAGUGAAAUUUAAAAAAAUAAUAUGAUAUUCAUGUGUUAUUAUUUGUACAGAAUAAAAAAAGAGUAUUACACGUUGAAUAAAUAAAAACUGAUUGACAUUUGACCCCUACAAAAAAUGUAUGAUGUGCUUAUUUACUUUAUUCAAAUAUCGUAUAUUAUAUAAUUUAAUUAAUGAAGGAUUUAGUGCACCAAAUAUUUAAAGUAUAUUGUUUAUUUUCUUUCCUAUUUUGGAUUUUUCAUUUCCAAAAAAAAAAAAGGACUCCAAAUCAUUUUUUUCAAAAAGAAUUUCAGUUUAAAUUUUAAAAUCUAUGGCCAAAUGAGAGAUUAAUUAGUUAAACUUUAUUCCAAGAAGCAAAAGGUUUUAUAUUUAUAAUUUUUAUUGUAAACUCGUGCUGACGAAUUGAUUGUCUUUUCUAUUAUUUUAAUUUAAAUAAUAAAAUUUAUGUUGUGUGAUGGUGUUUUUCAGUAUUUUGUAUCUUGUUAGGGUAAAUAAUGACGGAGUACUAAUUGAGUAAGGAAGGAGUUAAUAUAAAGUAAAAUAUUAAUGUACUAUACAGUCAAACACUUAAGAAAUUUUUAAUUCCUUGAUAAAAUCUAACUCACUACGAAGAACGGUUCGAGUCUUAGAUCGAAAAUUUUUCUGGGAUGUUACAAUAUCUCCCCCUUGGGAUCAUUCGUCCUCGAAUGACGACUGGACUGGGUAUGGAACGGGUUACUCUUACUAAGGUCUGAGGCUAAUGGUACACUCUCACUAUAUUCAAGCUUAACCUAAAUCCUUAGGUUCAGGUUCUAUACCUCUCUAUAGGGAAUGUCAUCCCAAAACUAAUACUCUUUACCACCACAUUGGGCUCAUAGCAAGAUCCACGUAAUGUUUAACAACACCACAUUCAAGCUUAGUACUCUAACAACUCAAUGGACUCCUACUAACUAACUUCUUCAGAACCAACUAAGGGCUGUCAUUUAACUAUUUCUCAUAGAAAAACCUCAUCUUCUUCUUCCUCCUCAUUAAUAACCUUAGAUAGAAUUAUCACACCAUCAUUAUCACGAUAGGAUCAUCAACCUCAUCUUUCUAACAUCACUUCAUUACUAAAAGGACCUCUAAAAAGAUAUCCCCCAAACUCUUUGGAAUUCAUUACCAUCUUAAUCUCAAACACUUGACUCGAUUUCUCAUCUUUUCAUCUUCCCCUUAGGUCUAAAGCUUACACUGGAAGCUAUGGACAUAUUCCAUCAUCUCUAAACUGGUCUACAAUCAUCUUACUCUAAUACGUGGUAAUACUUAUCUCAUGGCUACUAAACUCUCCAUAAACAGGUACUGAGACCUCUUUCUAAGAUGUUUCUCUUAACCUCUUCCAAUUACAUACCCUCUCGGUACACCUCUUAACGCUUUAGUUACUCUUGUGACUUAGCCACACUUCACUGCCCUUAUCUGAAGGUUAAGGCAUCUCACUAGUACCACUCAUAUCUAUUCCAGCUAACAUCUCAAUUCCUCACUUACUCUAUGUCAAGUCUACCAGAUCAAAUAUAGAGACUAACAUCAUCACCCUCAUGUUCCCAUUAUUUUGAUCAUGACACUCAUCUCAAAUUCAAGCUAAAUGUUUAUUACUGAAGCCGAAUAUCAAUACGAUUGCUCACUUACUAUACUAUACUUCAUUCUUGAUUAGUUCUAUAACCUUCUGAACAUCAUGACCCUCUCAAACAAAUCAUAAGCCUAGAUUAGAUCUAUUACUUUAUAAAUACCCUGCUCUCUUAUUCAACGCAUGAAUUUAGUCUCCUCUAAUACGAUGGCACAUAGACACCAACUCUAUUUUGGUUAACAAAUAUAUACUCUAUCUCAUCUUGACUAGAAACUCUUACUCUACCCACAAGGGAAAUAUCCUCAUGAAUAACUUACUGGGUGCAUGACUAUAGAAAUAUAGCUCUUCAAAACAUUAUCUCCCUUUCUUAAAUUUCUAAACCUCUGCAUACUUUCCUCUAACUCUAGGCUCUUUCACUACUACUGUUCAUGAUCUCGCAACUCAUGUUACCUUUUGGGGUGGAAAUAUUACCCAAGCUCUAAACAUACCUCCUCAUAAGGAUCUCAGCUGAAACAAGGAUUAAGGAAAAGAGUACAACUCAUUUUUAGCUCAAAUGCACGAUUCAUAUAAUCAUAAGUGCAUUCCUCUGAAACUGAACACUUAACUUAUUCUUGGGCUUCUCUUAAGCCCCUCUGGAGUCUCAUGACUUCCUCAAAACUGUACUGACUAUCUAUGAAGCCUCUAACUGAUAAAUAUGGAAGUUGGGACAAGAACAACGACAUCCUGACUAAACUGAAAAGUAAAUGAAAUUCUCCGGAAACAAGGAGGCUCACCAUAGCUAACUCGAACUCCCGGAUGUAUCAACGAAUCUCCUGUUAAUGAUCCCAAAUACAUGUGUCUGCAUCAUGAAAAGAUGCAAGACAAAUGGCUCAGUACGUGGAAUGUACGAGAAUGUAAGGGGAAUUCUAAAACAUAAACAUAAGCUUGAAAUUUGAUAAAAAGGGAAACAUACUGACCUCUUUUCAAACUUACUCAACUCAAGGAAUACUCAAAACUACUCAAACUUACUGAACUCAGAAUAUUAGAUACUCAACUCAAAGAUAUGAUAUUCGACUCUGGGUACUCAACUCGGGAUACUCAACUCAAUAUAAAGCAACAAUACACAUGCAAUAUAUGGAAAGCUUUAUAAAACAGUAAAAGCAACUUGGUUCGUUAAAGAAAAUGCAAUAACAAACUCAACUUUACUUAUAUAAUAAAGUAAUAUAGUUUCUGUGGGAGUUUCUCUAGCCGACAACCACCACCAUGAGCCUAAGUGGUGAUAAAACGUCUUGCCCACGCUGCCAGAACUGUCCUAUACUUUGCCGUAAUAUAGAACGCUUAACUUAGUGGAUCCACUAGCUUAACUUAUGCGAUCAUCUAAAAAGCAUGACCCAUUAAUACCCAUGUUGGUUACAUGGUUUAUGGAGACUUGAGUUAAUAUGAACUCGCAUCCCCAUAUCGGUGCUCAAUACUACUCCCAAAAAUAUACUUAGCUCAUAUGUUUUAAAGAAAUUUAUUUCUUUGGUUUGACAUAAUUACUCAAAACUUCGCUUAAAAGCUCUCUUGGAAUCGAUGUUCCCUUUCUUGCUCAAAACUCUUUUGGAAAUCUCAGUUUCCUCUCAUCUUAAAUGUGAAAGCAUUUACCCUUGGGAAUACUUAGUUCCCAUAUAUCAUUUUAAAGAAAUAAACUUUACUCUUAAUCUUUACUCAACUCAAAGCUUAAGUCUUAAAACAAAGUUAAAACAUUUGUAAAAUACUUCUUAAAGUAUGGUUCAUGCCGAAUUAUGGGCGUGAAUGACUCGAUGCAAAGUUUUCAAUAACCAUAGAUAGAUCUCAAUACUUGGAANNNNNNNNNNNNNNNNNNNNNAUUUCAAGAAUUCUCAACUCAGAGGGUUCAUGCGGAAUUAUGGGCAUGAACUACUCAACUCAAGGACUCAAAUAUACAUCUCAUCUCAAGACUGCUCGACUUAUAGGGUUCAUGCAAAAUUAUGGACAUGUAUAACCCAAAUCAAGGACUUCAUGUCUAAGAUGUAAUAGUCCCAUGAUUAGGAAUAUAAUCUCAAAAAAAAAGAUUAGGAACUCAAUACUCAAGACUUAGAACUUGAAGAUACUACUCCUUUCAAAGAUACUCAACUUAUGAAAUUCAUACGGAAUUUAUGGGCAUGAACAACUCGACUCAAAGGUCUACAUAAAAACAUGGAACUCAUGUAAACGACUCUUCUCAAUCUCAUACUUAGUUACUCAAACUUAGUUCGAAUUGAUAGCUGAUCUCAAAGGAUUCACACUCGAACUCAAAGACUUUCUUGGACUCUACUCUUAACUCUCUCUUGAAUGUGAAUUAUGAAUUCAAGAGUUAUGGUUCAUGAUAUGAAAGAUCNNNNNNNNNNNNNNNNNNNNNNNNNNNNNNNNNNNNNNNNNNNNNNNNNNNNNNNNNNNNNNNNNNNNNNNNNNNNNNNNNNNNNNNNNNNNNNNNNNNNNNNNNNNNNNNNNNNNNNNNNNNNNNNNNNNNNNNNNNNNNNNNNNNNNNNNNNNNNNNNNNNNNNNNNNNNNNNNNNNNNNNNNNNNNNNNNNNNNNNNNNNNNNNNNNNNNNNNNNNNNNNNNNNNNNNNNNNNNNNNNNNNNNNNNNNNNNNNNNNNNNNNNNNNNNNNNNNNNNNNNNNNNNNNNNNNNNNNNNNNNNNNNNNNNNNNNNNNNNNNNNNNNNNNNNNNNNNNNNNNNNNUUUUCUGAUCCUAAAUCACUUUUAAUCUCUUUCUUUUCUCAAAUUUUCCUUAGAUUCAAUUACCCAACCUAAGUACACACUAAUCCACUCAAAACAAUCACUUUCAUCUCAAGAAAAUCAUCAAAACCCCAACAAAACAAGAUUUAGAAUGAACUUCAAGAACACCUAUCAAGAACUUAAAUCCUUCAACUUUUUGAGAAUGAAACUUCGCUGAAAAUAAUAUGUCUGGCGUGUGGGUGAACAAACCCAACACUAUGGAAGCUUACAUACCUCUUAGGGAUCAAACCCAUGGCGACAAUCUGUAAUCUCAUUGCAUCAACUAAAUACACUCCAAGAUUUUAUUUGCUCAAGACUAUCAUGGGGGACGACUUUCAAGUCACAAAUGUUUAUCCGAAGACUGAGAUAGUUUAGAGUAGUUGUUUUAUCUUAUUUCCUUAGGGAUAUGAUGUUUUGCUUUUGUACUUCUGAUGUAAGCUUUUACUAUUUUAUGGAUGCUUCUGAAUUCUCGAUAGAGAAAUAUUAAUAAGUAAUUACUAUUUAAUAUUAUGAAUAUUUGAUAAAAUUGAUGGUUUUUGGAAACAGAUGGUGUAAGUUUUCUUUUAUGUUGUUAAUAUUAAGGUAACUAGUAUACAUACCCGAGCGAUGCGCGAAUAAUAUUUAAAUUAAUCAUUUCACAUUGUGGUCUGAUUUGUCAGAGCACACUCAAUUAUAUUGCAUUAACUAAAAUUUAUCUGCCAUCUUAUUUCUAAUUAUAAUUUAUAUACCCAAUAACACUUUGGAAUGAAUGUUACUCAUGUCUAAGUGAGUGUGUUUGCACAGGCAAAUGAAUCAUUUAUUGAACCUGAGCUCCAUUAAAAAAAUUAGACUCUUCAAUAUUCUUUAUAACUGGUAAUAAGAACACUUAAUUGAUUUUCUAAGUAAGUUAAUU
This 60635-nucleotide long non-coding RNA is filed under the name Solanum tuberosum (potato). Its description in RNAcentral is "long non-coding RNA (STUB_LNC010089)". Lineage: Eukaryota; Viridiplantae; Streptophyta; Magnoliopsida; Solanales; Solanaceae. The record is from RNAcentral.